AGAUUCGAUGUGAUGGAGAAUCUUGUAAAAUUUUGAGUUUUUGGGUGUAUCUAAACAAGGCCAUAGACACAUUUACUUGUCCAAGAUGAUACACAAGAGCACUCUAUAUCAUGCAUGUAGUGUAUGCUUCAUCUUUAUACAAUUACACACUAUACCUGAUUGUGCCAACCCCAAUCAUGCAUCAGUCCCGGCCCGCAGGUAUAAUAAGUAGUUUACUUGAAUAUAAGAACUAACCUGCGCUCCGGCACCGCGCAGAUCGAUUGUGUAUAUAUAUGAUUGGUCUAGCUAUUAGCUAGAUACUUUUGUGCUGUCCACUAAUAAAUACCAGUUGGCAUUGUUGAUAUAACGAAUUCUGAUCGACAUGACACACGGUUCGGUGAUCAGGGUGUCUGUGGGGGUAGAGAGCACCGUCGCCUGUUGUUCCUCCCGUUGACACUUUGGCCAAAGUCUGCCGUCCUCCUCGCUGGAGAUUAGGGAGAGACCGCUGCCUUUUCCGGUAUCUUCAUGUGCUUUUGCAUUAUUAUGUACGUCCUUGACAGGAAUGUGUGUCGCUGUCGUCGUUCGCGCGAUCGCGUCCGUCAAGUCCUCAACGCGCUUACCUGCAGCUGCCUGCCUACACGACAUGCCAUGUGUGGUGUGUUUCAUCAGUCGCCGCCGGGCGAGCGGCCGAACGAGCAUAUAUAUAAAAACAAAAGCAAAUACUAUGCCGUGUCACCUCGCGGCGCCGCGUCCACCGCCACCACCACCACCACCGGACGCGGGCGGGCUACCUGCUCUGCUCAUCAUCAUCUGCAUGUGCAUGUGCAUGUCCGUCCACGCACCCACCGGCGGACGGACACGCGCGCCUAUGCUAUGCAUGCAUGAACCUGACACGCGAAUGCACAAACGGAUCAUAGCUUUUCUCGCUAUAAUAUAAUAUUGGGGUUCCUUAUGUGAAAAAAAAAAUAAUAAAUUUUGCGUAUAGUUUUUUUGUUCUCUCAAGGCCUUAGUGUUCUAUGGUAAUUGUCCUCUCUUCAAGUUGUCGACAAUUUAUCCAUCGGUACCAAUUUGUGAACAACUCUGUUUCAGUCCCUGCGUCGGACUCUGUCAACCGCGCGCCCGGCAAGAGGAGAAGCAGACGGACCAGCGGAGCCACGGCCCAGGAGAGCGCCCAAGCCUAACACGCGCUUCGCAGGCCCAGAAUGGGCUGUGUAAUGAGAGAGCUCCUGAUGGGAUACGACAGGACCGAGAGAAGUCAGACGAUUUGUAAACUGAAAACACUUCAAUUCAAAUCAUGUCCUCGCGCACUUCGGUGUGUUCUUUCCGUCUCCCCUAGCUUCCUCCUGCUUCCUCUCCACACUAUCGCUAACACAACUCUGUGUAAUUUAAAGCAAUUAUAUUAUGGCUCAAUUUUUUGGCUUCAGAUGUUAUCGUCACCCCUUUUUUUCCUUGCACUCAUGUCUCAUGGCUAUGAAGCUUAUGUCAAAGUCAACUCUUGAUAAACUUCAGUUUUUCCAGUUGACGACUAUAAAAAACGGUUUAAGGAGACAGCUAGAUCUGGGUUUGGGCCGUGCUAUUUGAGGGUGGGUCAUUAUAUAGUCUUUUGCCAUGGUAUAACACAAAAGAUUUUAGGCCGUGCUGGCAUGACACGAACAUGAGAGUCAUGCCAUUCCGAGGAUCUUGGCAUUUUAGACCGUGUUUGGCCCGAUAUGGCACGAAAAAUGCCACGCUCUACAAUAUGUUUCCCACUGGUUGCCUCUCUCUCUCUCUCUCUCUCUCGUCACCCUCCCACAUCAUGAUCUGUGACCACCACUUCUCUCCCUAUGUCUAGAGUGAGCCUGGUGAGCCCCCUCCCUUACCGCCCCUGCCUCUCCCCCUCUCUCUCACCUUUGGGGGCUAGGGAUGACCUCGAGCUAUGCGGAGCUCGAUGCACGUAGCCCAACAUCCAAUCACAUGUGACACAAGGAGGCACUCGGGUACGUGUAGAACUCCUAAUGAAUGUAAAGGAGGCAAGAGAACCAAGAGAAGUCAGAUGAUUGUAAACUGAAAACACUUCAAUUCAAAUCAUGUCCUCGCCACUUCCAUGUGUUCUUCACAUCUCCCCUUCCUCCUCCUUCCUCUCCACACUAUCUAACACAACUCUAUGUACUAUAAAGCUAUUAUAUUAUGGCUCAAUUUCUUGGCUUCAGAUGUUAUCGUCAUCCUUUUUUUCUUUUGCACUCAUGUCUCAUGGCUAUGAGAAGCUUAUGUCAAGGUCAAAUCAUGAUAAAUUUCAGUUAUUUCAGUUGGCGACUACAAAAACAAUUUAUGGAGACAACUCUUUAAUUGUGUUUAUAUGAGAAACGCAACCUACCCUUCUCUUCCUACCCACUAGCCACCUCUCUCACUCUCUCAACUAUCUCCCUCAUGCUUUGUGGUGACCUCUUCUCUCCCUAAGUCCAAAGCAAGCCUGGUGGACCCACUUCGUCCCUGCCCUGCCACUCCCUCUCCCUCUCUCACCUUUGGCGGCUAGGGAUGAUCUCGAGCUAUAUGGAGCUCGAUGUUCAUAGCCUAGUGGCCAAUCAUGUGUGGUGCAAGGCACCUAGGUACGUGUAGAGACUGAGGGCCGCAACAUCGCAUAGGCCUAUGACAGUGAAUCCUAUAGUGACCUAUAGCCUAGGACAUUGAGACCUAGGGUAGCACACAUGGAAGACAAGGCCUAUGGUGGUGCAUGCAUACCAUGAGGCAUGGGGGUUAUUGGGGCACUUGGAUCUGCCCAGAAGCGAUGAGGCCUGGCUGCCUCGAUGUUGGGAAAAUGCUCUCCGCACUCCCCAGCAAUGCAGUGAAGCGAGAACCUUCUCACUCGGUGCCGUGAGAGGAUGAACAGUAACGAACAGAAAGCUCAACAGUAGGUGAAUACAAUGAAUGCUCUCUCUCUCUCUUAUUAAUGACGGUAUCACGCCCCUUAUAUAGGGCUCAGAAACCGACCUAAUGACAUUUACAAAAAUGCCCCGUGACGGUGGGGAAUAUCCCAGCAUAUUCUCAUAUUACAGUCUACUGGCCCUAAACCAAUUGUGUAAUUUCACAUUACAAACCCCACGUAUGUCCCCUGUCUGAGGCUUCAGCUGGUCGAAGGCUUGGAUCCUUCGCCCAAUCGUGGAUCCUCCGACGCUUUGGUGUCGGAGGUUCCCUAGCCUGGCCGGGCCGGAGGUUCCACGGCCUGGCCACACUGGAACUUCCUUAGUCUGCCUGGUCACCGAUCCUUAGACGCUUCACCAUCGGAGGUUCCUCAGCCUGGCCGGACCGGAGGUUCCUCGGCUUGGCCGCGUCCCUCGCCCAUCCUUGGACUUGGGAGGAUCGGAGGUUCCCCCCUUUCUUUGCUUGCGGGCCUCCGCCGGCGUCUCAGUCCCUGCGUACACUUAGCAAGGCAAGAUGAGUCGUUAACGUUACUUUUUCUCAGGAACCCCCGCACAUAUUCUUACGGAGGUUCCCUGGGUGAAGGAUAUCCUUCGACGCCACCAGGGGGAAGGAUGCGGCCAGCCCCCAACAGUUCCCCCCUUUUUAGGCUAAUGGCACUCCUGCGGUCCAUGUGCUCAAAAACAUGUUACGCUGCGGAGGCUGCGAGCAUGGUUGCUGCCUUCCCCCCUGGUGCGCAGGAUGUGGUUAUUAGUGGUGUUGGAAGAUUGUUUAUUGUACUUGGCCAAAAUUUUCUUUCUCAGCAUCUUCCGCUCAUUGUUGUUCUGAUAUCCUUCGCGUGUUAGAUUGCGGAGGAUAUUAUAGCCGUUGGAGUUUGCCGUUGGUAUUAGGGAAUUGCAACGGUCAGGCCGAUUCCUCCGCUUAUAGCCGUUGGGCGCGGGGAAUCACAACGGUCACGUUGCCGCAGGCCCCCCCUAUAAAAGGGGGUGGGGGAGGGGCUCUUGGCUCUCACCCCUGCUGCCUGCUGUUUGCAUACCUACCUUUGCCACAUCUCACUCUCUGAGCUGCUCGCGUGCGUUUUUGUUGAUUUUAGUUCCUAAGUGUGGUCGGAGGAUCUAAAGUGGCUCAUUUUCCUACGCCGCGUCCUUCGAGGUCAGAUUUUUCUGGUCCUUUGCGCAAUUUACUUAGUGUGAGGUCUGGAGGUUGGCUGCGGAGGUUUGAGGAGUGGAUGCUUGAGGUGGCAGUAGCUCAAGAUCUGGAGGAGACGUUGUCUGACGUCGAAGCUUCCGUUGGGGAUCUAAUCAGCGCGAAGGAAUUUGAGGAGAUGGCUGCAAUCACUUUUGAGUUUGGUGAGUCUACUGUAUGGACGGAGGACAUUGCUGAUAUGGUUUUGGCUAGGUUUUUCAAGGAGGGCCGUGCGAAGGCUCCUCCUGCGGGUAAGACGGUGCCUGCGCCUGAAGAGGGAUAUGCAGUGGUUUUCAGAGAUUUCUUCACCUGCGGGCUCCGGAUGCCUCCGUACCAUUUCCUUCGCAAAGUGAUGGAGAGUUUUAAUGUUGAGCUGCAGCAUUUCAGUCCCAAUGGUAUUUUGACACUCAGCAAGUUUGCGUGGGCGUGCGAAUCCAACGGAGCGAUGCCUCAUAUCGAUACAUUCUAUUCCUAUUUCGAGCUCCAGCGUCAGCCUAAAAAGGUGAAGGAUGCCGAAGGAGUCGACUGUAUUGCGCAAUUUGGAAGCUGCGCGUUCAUGCCGCGCCGCACGAUGCCUGGGCCAAGGUGUGAAAUCUCCUACUGCCAAAAGGGCAAGUGGGAGAAGGAUUGGAUGAGGGCCUGGUUCUACGUGAGGACCCCCGCUGCGUCGAAGACUCUGGAAAAUGGUAGCGUUGAUAAGGUGUAUCCUUACGCGUCGUAGAUGAAGGAGUUGAAGCCUUUCUCCAAGGUUGAUCCUUCGCAGCCAAUGUCGGAGGAACGACUGGCUUGCGACAAGGCCUUUGCGCUGGCUUGCCGAUACUCCGGAGGUCGAGAUUUGGUUGAGGAGAUGGUCACUGCCAACUAUUGGCCCCUUGGUUGCAGGACCGACGAGUUCACCAUUGAAAUGGUGCAAGUGCCGGUGUUUGGUCCUCCGGAGGGGUUGCCGUUUCCUCGGUUCCGCGCGGGUUUGCCUGAGGAUGAGACAAAGGAGUCUUUCCUCGACCGUGUGGAGGUUUCUGCCCGGAGGAUAGUUGGGAAGAUCUCGAAGAAGGAAUAUCUCUAGCGGAAGUCCACACUUAGGACUAUGCCGCGUUUCAAUCGUGUUAAUGAAGAGUUGGGGUUGAGUACGAGGAUUAUGUCAUUCCUCCAGAUGUUUUGCUUGGCUUGGAGAGGAAGAAGGAUUCUUCCAAGGCUGUUGCUUUGGUUGAGUCGAAGAAGAGGAAGGGAGGUGGUGCUGUGAAGCAGCUCGCAAAGAAGCGCAAGGCGGAGGUUGUGCUGGAGGCUCCGGUGGAGUCUUCCUCCGCCCGCUCUUCUGCUGCCGAGUCUAACUCGGUGGCUUCUGCCCCUGCGGAGGCAGUUCCUGCUGGUGGAGGUCCUGAGGUUCAAGCCUCCCGUGUGGUCUCGUCUGUGCGGGCGCCUUUCGCGUCGCUUCUUGGGGAGGAAUCUUCCGACGCGGAGGCCCCUGGGGCAAGUCCUGCGCGGGAUGCGAGUCUUGCACGGGCGGCUAGUCCUACACGGGCGGCUAGUCCUGCGCGGGAGGCUUCUAUUGGUGGAGGGUCUCCACCGAAGGAGGGGUAGGGGAGUCCAGUGAUGAUGCUGAGUCUGCCUCUGUUCGGAAGAUAAAGAGGGCGGAGGCUCCUCCGCGUCCGGCUGGAGAUGGUAUAAACUCGCUGUACAUGGGUAAAGAUUUUGUUCUUUUUGAUCAUGGGUUUUCUGCAUAUUUUGAUUGACUUGGUCUUAUGUUUUUUUGUGUAUUUUUCAGAGGAUGUGGUUGCGAGGUUGGCCAGUGCGGAGGAACGGGCUAAGGUUCGUUUUUGGCCUCCGCUAUUGAUAAUAAUUUUUAAUUUUCUUAUGUUUUUCCUUACCUCUUUUGCUCUUUAGAUCAUCUUCGUCAGAAGCUUCGUCAUAUGGACUUUGAUACUUUCCUUCGCGUGCAGUUUGAGCACCAUAGCCUUGUAAGUUUUUCAAAUUGUUUAUUUUUCCUUCGUGUUUUGUGGUCGGAGGUUUGAUUCUUUUUUGCUUUUUGUAGAGUCACCACAUGGCUGCGGCCUUGGAGGAGCGAUGCUCCCGAGAGGUUAUGUGUCAUGAUGAGGCUAUUGGUGCUUUGAAGAGGGUGAACGAGACCUUGGAGGCAGAGAAGGUCCAUCUGUCGGAGGAGGUCCAGGGCUUUUCUUUGGUCCGACAAGAGCUUGAGGCGCUAAGGAAGGAGAGGGACGAGCUUAAAGCUGGAUCGGAGGUUCUUAAGAAGGGGAAGGAAGAAGCUGAAGCUUCAGCCGCUACCCUCCGCGAGAGCGUUUCACAGCUUGACAGGGCGAAGGACUUGGCCAUGGAGCAUGCCGAGAAGGCUGAGGGCAUUGCCGACCGCCUCCGCGAGGAGCUUGAUGCCGAGCGGACGUCUGCUGCUGUGGUGCAAACACGCAUGCAGAAGGCGGAGGAGGAGGUUGCGGCUUUGAUCGGGCUCUACUCCGGCUCGCUGGCGCAGUUCGGAGGUAGCACCUCUUCUCCUCCGAUCAGUAGUGAUGUUGGGGCUAGUCUUGCGUGGCUCAAGUCUCAUAUCAGCAUGCUUCCUGACUUUGUCGGGGGAGCAGUUGAUUUUGGGGCUUUGGCUGUGGUUAGCUCCUUUGCUAGGCUUUUGCGCCGUGGAGGUUGCUCUCACGCGGAGGAGGUUGCGAAGGAGGAAUUUGCGUCGGCGGAGGACGUUGGCGAAGGCACCUCGAGCCUGCGUAAAUCAGUCUGGAACUUUAUCAGUUCGUUCUGGAUUAGGUUUGGGCGGGCUGAGGCGAAGAAGAUGGCGGAGGCUCGCCGCGCUGAGGUAUGUGUGAUUUGAUUAUUGUUUUGUGUGCUGAGUUGCUACUUUGCAAUGUCUCUUAAGUUUGUCGUUUUGUAGGAGAUUGCCAAGAAGAAAGUUAAGGCUGACAAGGCCGGUCCCUCGCGUCCCCCUAGCGAAGCGCGUCCUCCGACCCAAGCUGAGGCAGAGGUUCACGACGCUGGUGUUAAAGCUCCGGAUGAAUCUGGCGCCAAGGCUUCAGAGCAGCCCGAAGCUCCUCCUCCUCCUCCGCCUCAGGUGUGAGGCUUUUUAGUUUGUAGGUUUUUUAGUUUUUUUGCGUCUGAUGCGCAUACGACGCUUUUUUGUAAGGAAAGCCGGAGGUUUUAGUUAACUUGUAAAAACUUUGUAUGAAAUGUAAUAUAUUGGGUUGUUUUUGGAUAAGCCUUUGUUUUACGCUUUGAUCCUACGCAGGUCUCUGGCGGAGGACCUGCGCAGGAUCGUUGCGAUACUCCCCUUUCUAUUUUCUACAAUGGGAUUUAUGCUUCUGGCGAGUUGUGGGAAUACUGGCGGAUUGCUUUCCCUAACAUGAGAGUAGUGGAUAUGUUUGAGUUUGUUGGUUAUGAUCUUGAUGACGAACGAUCUGAAUUCGUCCGGUCGCUUGCGCGCCGAGGUUCAUGGCCUCCGGCUUAGGUAGUUGUUUUUGUUUUGUUUUUUCUUUAUUUUAGGCUAUAUGUUCUUUUUGUGACUUGGUUUUAUAUGAUUACGUAGUUGUGGUAUCCUAUCCUUCGCAUCUUUGGUGAGGAGGUUGAGGAAUCUUUUUGGCUGGAGGAUCCUGUCGACAUGUAUGAGCGUUUCCUGCCUGAGCGCGCGGAGGUUCGGAAUUUAAUUUUUCUGGAUAUGUUUGGAUCCUUUGCUUGAUCCAUUGGUUUUUUGAGCUGGUUUAUUUCCGCAGGUUGCUCGAUCCUCUCCUAAUCGUAACGUUCUUCCUCCGGAUUUUGUCGAAGGAAGCUAUGUGACUCCAGUGACGUUCAAGCGGGGUGACUUGUAUGCGACUGGUUGGUUAAUAGAUUGGUGGAGAGGUGCGCGACCUUCGCUCGAUGUGGAUGAUUUGGUCGAUUAUCUUGCGUGACUAUUGUAGCGACCUUAGGAUUUUUGGUGACUCGUGUGUGAGAUUUGUACGUGACUCUUAGAUCCUUCGGUAGUUAAGUUGUCAGAGGAUUCAUAUGUAAGGAUUGUAAGAGGCUCUUAGAACCUUCGACAUUUUAGUGGUCGAAGGAUGUUUUUGUAAGCUGUUGAUUUGUGAUGAUUUUUUCAUCGUUAAUAAAGAUUUGAAGCUUGUGAAGAUUAUUGUUACAACCUUCGCACUCGUUCUUAUUACAACCUUCGUGCUAUUCUUGUUACAACACAUUGCGACGUCACGGCGUUGUUGAUCUCGAGGAACUUUGUGUUGCUGUGGCGUGCUUGCGCUUGAUACCCAAUGUUGCGAAGGUGUUGGUGAGUGUGUAGAUUGCGUAGGUUGCCUGCUCCUUGACCUUAGGGCCUUCGCUUGCCCUUGUGCGAAGGAGCCUCUACUGAAUUGCGCUCUUCUUUGUCUUUGUUCAACUCCCGUGGAGUGUUGUCGAAGGUAACCUUCGGGUAGGUAAGUCAGAGGUUCUGAAAGGAUGUUACGAGACUUCGUGCGAUACCCUUCAGAGACCUCUGAUACUGGCUUGCGGUGCUUUUAUUGUGGCUGUACACGACUCUGUGGUCGAUGUUCAUCACAACGCCGCAGUUGUAGCCUUACGAAGCUUCAUGCAAUACCAAUUUUUGGUGCUGCUAUGAGGCUAAUCCCUGCCUCCAUGGUGGCCUAGGUUUUUCCUUUGCGAGCGCUAGGCUUGCACUGGCUGUUUGGAUCUUUGUGUGUUGGUCCUGACUGAUGGUGGGGGCAAGGUGAGCCAGGUUUUAUAGACUUUCAUGCAUUUAUUGCAUGUACUUUGUUAGGUUAGGAUUUACUACAAAGUUAUUACUGGUUGUUGUGAUUGUUGUAGUGGUUGGUCCUACUUUAACUGACUGAGGAAUAUCGUAAGGUUUGCUUUAUUUUCACACUGUGUGUUAGAGGCCUGCUUGGAGUAACAGGGUACCUUCGACCUUAUCUUGGUGAAGGUUAUGUAAUUUUUGUUGAUGUCUACCUUGUGAAUGUGUAACCUUCUCUGCCUUUUGGCAGAAGCUGUAUAGCCCCUGAUGCCUGAUUGUCUUCAGGUCUUUGUCAGGUUUGAAGGCUUUGUCCCUUCUGGCCAUGUUGUGAUACCUGAGGAGGACAGAGCUUUUUCACUUUUGGCCAAGCUGUCCUUGCUGCCCGGCUCUUGGUUAGGUCUUCUACUAAGGAUUCGGUGUUUUCCACCUUUGAGGACGUUCCGAGCUUUCUUAAACUUUGGUUGAAAGCUACGGAGGGUCCUUGUAAUCACGUGAUGUUUUGUCGAAUGCUACAGCCUCGCUGCUGGCUGUUUUUCGACUUUUGCGUUUUGCUUUUGAGGUGGAUUCCUCUUUAUAUCUCAGAGGUUUUUACAUAGGUUCUGCCUCGUUAAAAACCUCACCUCCUAGCAGGAGUACCUGUGGGGAUAUAAACCCCUAUACCCUUACGGCUAGACUUGGGCCAGGAGGUUUGGCCCAUUACGUGACGAGUUUUCAAGGCUUGAUCCGACUGCUUGGAGUUUCGCGCAAGGAGACAAGAUGUGGAGAUCAAGCAGGAUUCUAGUCAGUUAGAAUAGGAAUUGAUAUUAAAUUAUCCAUGGCAAUUGUAACCGACUAGGAUUAGUUUCCAGAUCUGUAACCCUGCCCUCCAGACUAUAUAAGGAGGGGCAAGGGACCCCCCUAGGACACAUUGUUCCCUCAACACAAAUCAAUACAACCAGACGCAGGACAUAGGUAUUACGCCAACUCGGCGGCCGAACCUGGAUAAAAAGCUUGUUCGUGUCUUGCGUCACCAUCGAGUUCGUAGUUUGUGCACCGUCUACCGAUAAACUACUACCGUGGGUAUACCCCAAGGUAGACUGUCGACCAGCUUUCGUCGACAGUGGCGCGCCAUGUAGGGGGUCUGCGUGCAACUUCUCCGGCAAACAAGAUGGUCACGAUCCUAGCUUCCGCGGCCGUGCCUGAAGGCCUCACGUUCACCGUCAGCCAGAUCACGUGGACGACGCGCAGCGGCGGCCUCACGACCACGGUUUCGAAAGAAACUCAGAUCCAAUCUGAGAACACGUCGUCUCCGACCACUCGCGUGGCGGAACCGAGCGCCCGACCAUCGCUCCCGCUCUACAAGGGAAAGAAGAUCGACUGCUCGGACCUUCUCCAAGCGCUCGAUCGCGCUGAUUCCAAGCUACUUGAAGCCUCCCAACUAGUGGACGGAAUCCUGCGUCAGCCUGAUCAAGCUGCUCCAACGGAUUUUUUCAAAUCCCGUCGGCCAACUCGUGUCGUUACACACGAACGACUGGGAACGUCUCUGACGAUAACCUCAACUCCCUCAGGACGAUCUGUCAAGCUCAAGAAGGGAGACUAUCCUUGCGGCCUGAACAACUCGGCCUCUCUCUACUCGCGGCACAUCCAAUCCGUUUUCAGCAAAGCGGGUUGGUCGCCAAACAGGAACGGUCGUCACUACGUCAACAUGGUGACAGUCCAAGAACUACGGGACGGCCAGGCUUCCAGCACCAACUCGAGCACCGGUUCCGUCCCCACCGAAGUUAUAAACACCGAAGACGAGGACUACGACCUGGAUUUGCCUUCACACCCUCCGGGUUUCCCUCGUUUCCCGGUAUUUCCCCCCCGGCGAGGAGAUAUUGUUUUCAACGUCAGCGUCGACGAGCCGGUCGUUGAUGGAGAAACAGAUGAGUAGAGGCAACUCCGCGAGCAACGCAACGCCGAUCGCGCCCGACGACGCGCAGACGAGCAAUAACAAGUUCCACUGCAUAAUCUUAACGACGCUUUUGACAUGGUCGGGGAUCAGCCAGUCUACAAGACGCCAAGCGCCAACGUGGCUGUCGCCAUGGCCAACCUAGAUCGGCUCCCUGAUACCCCUGAGUGCUAGGGAGUCCGGACCAGCAUCCGAGCACACCUGAUCGCCGCAAUGGGACAGACAGCCACUCUGCUCAAGAGAGUCCAGGACGUCUCUUACACGGAAGCCACCUCCGACCAGACUAAUCGUAGCCGGACCUCACCGCCUCCCAGCAGGCGUCACCGCAGCCGCUCUCCCGACAACUGUCGAAAAGAUUCACGGCGUGACGAUGGUGGUCGGGUCGCUGACGGUCACCGCGAGCAGAACCGCAGACGCGGUCAAGAAGUAAACCAGCACAGGGAUCUCCGGCACAACAUCCCUCCCCAAGAUGCCCGGGACCGCAUCAACAGGCGAGCCACAGAGAGAGCAGUCCACGAAAACCUGCGCCGUAUCGAGUACGAUGCAACGCACGGCCCCCCCGGGCCUAAGACAGUUCUCCUCACACCUCCGCCAGGUCGUGUGGCCCCGCAAUUUUAAGCUCGAAAAACUUAAAAAAUACAACGGCAAGGAAAAUCCAGAGAACUGGAUCACUCUCUAUGAAAUCGCCGUCCGAUCAGCAGCGGGAGACGAGCACGUCAUGGCCAACAACUUCCCCGUAGUCCUCGACCAGGCUGGUCAUCAAUGGCUUCUUGGCUUGCCCGAGGACUCCUUCGACUCUUGGGAAGAGCUACGCCAGGCUUUUAUCGACAACUUCAUCGCCACAUGCGAGCAGCCUGGAAACAAGUAUGACCUCGAAAGGAUAAGGGACAGGAAGAACGAACCUCUGCGCGAUUACAUCCGACGAUUCUCGGAUAUGCGCCUUAAGAUCCCGAAGAUUUCCCACGACGAGGCCAUCUCUGCCUUCAUCAAGGGCCUGCGUUUCCAUGAAGCGCUGAGGAACAAGCUGUUGCGUAAACGGCCAACAAUGGUGGCGGAACUCCUCGCCACAGCCAAAAAUUACGCCGAUGCCGACGACGCAGAAAAGCUAAUCCGAGACGAUGCGAGAGGUCCCGACCAGCCUCCCCGGCGAGAUGACGGUCGCGGUCGCUACGACAACAGGAACCACCGCCGCCCCGACGACCGUGAUUACAGAGAAGGUUGGGAUCGGCGGCGCGACAACCGCGACGAUGUCAGAGGAAAGCGCCCCCGCGACUACGACCACGAAGUAAAUACGGUCAAGCGUCCCAACGGGCGGCGGGACUACCAAGAAGACUACAACAAAACGUUGAAGGGACCAUGCCAAUUACAUCCAAAGUCUAAUCAUACCAUGGAAGAGUGUCGCGUCCUCAAAAGCAUCUAUACACGGCGAGCCGCCCAAGACGACUCCGCCAAGAAAAACGGCAAGCGAGACGGGCACGACCACGAAGACGAGGAUGAGGACCAAGAUAGGGACCCCCGACACCAAUACGUGAGCCCCACUGACGUGGUCCACUCCAUCUUCGGGGGCAAGGUCUCCAUCGAAUCUAAGCGAGAAAGAAAGCUAUUAAAGAGAGCCUGCCUCAACAUAGACAGCACGGACGGGCUGAUCGCAGACCCAAAAUUUCCCUCGUGGUCGCACAGGGAGAUCUCAUUCAGCAGGAAGGACCAGUGGGCCGCUAUCCCAGAGCCAGGUCGUUUCCCCCUGAUCCUGGACCCUUGCAUCAACAGCAUCAGAUUCGAGCGUGUGCUCGUGGAUGGGGGAAGCUCCAUCGACAUCCUCUUCCGCAACAGCCUGCCCGCUCUCAAGAUAUCUCCUGCACAACUAAAACCUUACGAUGCCCAAUUCUGGGGGGUUUUGCCAGGUCAGAGUUUAGUGCCCCUCGGACAGAUAACAUUGCCUGUCCAAUUCGGCACACCCGACCACUUUCGGACAGAGUUCAUCAACUUUGUGGUCGCGGACUUCGACGGGACCUACCACGCUAUACUAGGCCGACCAUCGCUGACAAAGUUCGUGGCAGUCCCACACUACUCAUACCUGGUCCUUAAGAUGCCUACGGAGAAGGGCGUCCUAACCGUCAGAGGCAAUGUCUACACCGCGUACACCUGCGAAGAAGAGAGCUUCAAGAUCACCGAAGCAAUCGACCUCUCAAUCCGCAUGGCAGAAACAGCAACCCAAGCCGCACAGCUGCCUCCCGACCAGCUCCGAUUACCCGAGCAGGAGACAGCCAGGAAGAAUUCAAAAUCCAAGGAGUACAAAGAAGUACAGCUGGUUGACGGUAGCCCCGAGAAGACGGCCCUCAUCGGGGCCAAUCUGGAUCCAAAAUAGGAAGACGCGCUCGUCAGGUUUCUAAGGGACAACGUGAGCAUUUUCGCAUGGAAACCCGCAGACAUGCCCGGCGUCCCACGAAACCUGAUCAAGCACUCCUUAAAUGUCUCGAAGACCGCAAGACCAAUCAAGCAAAAGCUGCGAUGGUUUGCUCGUGACAAAAAGGAGGCUAUUAGGACAGAAAUAACACGGCUUCUAGCAGCCGGAUUCAUAAAAGAAGUGUAUCACCCCGAUUGGCUCGCCAAUCCGGUUCUUGUACGCAAAAAGAAUAAUGAAUGGAGAAUGUGCGUUGAUUACACUGAUCUCAAUAAACACUGUCCUAAAGAUCCUUUUGGUCUCCCUCGCAUUGACGAGGUGGUCGACUCAACGGCCGGAUGCGAACUCCUCUCUUUUCUAGAUUGCUACUCUGGUUAUCACCAGAUCUCGCUAAAGGAAGACAUCCUUCAUUACUCCUUUUGGCGCAUACUGCUACACGACCAUGUCCUUUGGACUCAAAAACGCCGGAGCCACUUAUCAACGGGCCAUCCAGCAGUGCCUCCACGACGAGAUUCGUGAUGACCUCGUCGAGGCCUAUGUAGACGACGUGGUCGUAAAAACAAGGGACGCGAGCACCCUAAUCGACAACUUAGACCGUACUUUCAAGGCGCUUAAUAGGUACAAGUGGAAGCUUAACCCCAAAAAGUGCAUCUUUGGUGUUCCUUCCGGUCUACUGCUCGGCAACGUUGUCAGCCGUGACGGCAUACGGCCAAACCCUUCCAAAGUAAAAGCAGUACUCGACAUGCGGCCACCCAAGAAUGUCAAGGAUAUUCAGAAGCUUACCGGAUGUAUGGCCGCCCUCAGUCGCUUCAUCUCAAGACUAGGAGAAAAAGGCCUCCCUUUCUUCAAACUCUUGAAAGCGUCGGAAAAAUUUUCUUAGACAGAGGAAGCCGACGCCGCAUUCACGCAGCUCAAGACUUUUCUCACUUCGCCACCUGUCCUUACAGCGCCUCAGCCCGAUGAAGACCUACUCCUUUACAUUGCUGCAACCGACAGGGUUGUUUCCACAGCAAGAGUGGUCGAGCGAGAUGAACCAGGUCAUGCCUAUAAGUUCCAGAGACCCGUCUACUUCAUAAGUCAGGUCUUAAACGAGUCCAAGGCCAGGUACCCACAAAUACAGAAGCUCAUAUACGUCAUUCUAAUAACAUCAAGAAAGCUGAAGCACUACUUCGACGGCCACCAAGUCUUGGUAACCACCAGUUUCCCUCUCGGGGACAUUCUGCGCAAUAAAGACGCCAACGGCAGAAUAGUGAAAUGGGCGAUGGAAUUAUGCCCAUUUUCCCUGGAGUUCCAGAGCCGCACCACAGUCAAGUCUCAGGCCCUGGUCGAUUUCAUUGCUGAAUGGACGGAUCUCAACGAGCCUCCCGUUCCCGAUGUCUCCGACCACUGGUCAAUGUUCUUUGACGGAUCCUUGAACAUCAACGGUGCUGGCGCUGGGAUACUGUUCGUAUCGCCUAACAAGGACAAACUGUGUUACGUUCUUAGGAUCCUUUUUCCAGCGUCAAACAAUGUCGCCGAAUACGAAGCAUGCCUACACGGCAUAAGGCUCGCCGUCGAGCUGGGUGUCAAAUGCCUCUACGUCUAUGGCGACUCUGCCUUGGUUAUCAACCAGCUCAACAAGGAGUGGGACGCAACCCACGAGAAGAUGGAUCUCUACUGCAAAGAAAUUCGCAAAUGGGAAACCAACUUCUACGGCAUAGAGUACAUCCACGUGGUCCGGGAUAAGAACCAGGCAGCAGAUGCGUUGUCGAAGUUAGGGUCAUCCCGGGCCCAGAUCCCGCGGGGUAUUUUCGUCCAGGACAUCCACGAGCCAAGCGUAGGCUCCACCCUAGUCGAAAAGCAACCCACCGAGGCAAUGCUCAUAGACGAUGCCACUCCGACAACCGGUGGUCAUGACUGGCGUACCCCGUUCAUCAAGUAUAUAUCGGAUGGGACAGGCUUUCAGGACAAAACAGAGAACGAACGCCUCAUUCGACGGUCAAAGAACUACAUCCUGGUCGACGGUAAACUCAUGCGAAAAAACGCAAGCUCUGAAGUACUGCUCAAGUGCAUAUCCCAAGAUGAUGGUAUCAAACUCCUAGAAGACAUACAUGCUGGAUCCUGCGGCAAUCACGCCGCAUCCAGAACGUUGGUCGGAAAAGCCUUCCGGGCAGGUUUUUAUUGGCCAACCGCGGUCAACGACGCAGAAAAACUGGUUCGACACUGCGAGGGAUGUCAGUUCUUCGCUAAGAGGACCCACGUACCUCCUCACGAAAUUCAAACCAUCCCAUCGUCCUGGCCCUUUGCUUGCUGGGGGCUUGACAUGAUCGGGCCAUUUAAACCAGCUCCCGGCAACUUCAAGUUUGUUUUCGUGUUAAUCGACAAGUUCUCCAAGUGGAUCGAAUACAUGCCUCUGGUCAAGGCAACCUCCGAGAAGGCCGUGGAGUUCCUCAAUCAAAUCAUACACAGAUUCGGCAUCCCGAACAGCAUAAUCACCGACCUGGGUACUCAGUUCACUGGCACCACAUUUUGGGACUUCUGCGAUGACAGAGGCAUAGUCAUAAAAUAUGCGUCAGUGGCUCAUCCACGGGCCAAUGGUCAAGUCGAACGCGCAAACGGAAUGAUCAUUGACGCCCUAAAGAAAAGGCUGUACACCGAGAACGACAGAGCACCCGGUCGAUGGAUGAAGGAGUUACCGGCAGUGGUCUGGGGCCUCCGAACUCAGACCAGUCGGAACACAGGAGUGUCUCCCUACUUCAUGGUUUACGGCUCCGAGGCAGUCCUGCCGUCUGACAUAACCUUUGGAUCUCCCAGGAUUGAACAAUUUGACCAGGUGACAGCCGACAACGCCAGAGAACUCGAAAUCAACUGCAUGGAGGAAAAGCGUUUGAAUUCUUGUCUCCGAACAGCAAAGUAUCUCGCGACAGUCAGGCGAUACCACAACAGGAACGUCAAGGACCGUUCCUUCGUGGUCGGCGAUCUGGUACUUAGGUGGAGAACAAGGCAAGAAGGAAUGCACAAGCUAUCCACUCCCUGGGAAGGACCUUUCGUGGUCGCCGAAGUCACACGACCCACGUCCUACAGAUUGGCAUACCCAGACGGAACACGUGUGCCUAACUCUUGGCACAUAGACAAACUGCGACGAUUUUAUCCAUAAGUUCUAAUAACUUUCGCUUGCAAAUAUCUUAUAAUUGUCAAUAAUAAAGUUUUCUAUUUUUUGCCUAUACUUUGUUGGACGCGGAACUCGGCAAAACUUCUACAACGGAAGCUCUUAGCGACUACAAAGUCAAAUACAGUGACACGUCACCCAGAUAAUUACACAGCGCUCAAAAUAACAGUCAUGACAAAAGCAAACUUUAUUACAAACUUUACACACAAAGUUUACAAUAAAUACCCUGACGGGCAGACGCUAGUCUAUUCCUACAGACUACCCUAUUGGCCUAACUGCUCGGGCUGAUCACCCGCCUGGCCCUGCUGCCCGGACGAAGGGGUCGGGGCCACCGGCGCCUGGCUGGUCGAGACCGCAGGCGUCGACCGCCCAUCUCCCGCAAUGGACGUGCCUGACAGCUCCCUGGCCGACCUGUCUGAACCCGGCUGGUCUGGGGGAGUGGCCGUUCCGCACAGAUUGAUGUCGCCGAUCAGCGUCCACGACAAGUCCAGCAGACCACCCCGAAGCUCGUCCGCCUCCUGUGGGCCGACCUCCUUGGGAUACCCCUUCUCCAGCCUGGUCAGGUCGACCAGGGGGUAGUUGGCGCGCACCAUGCUAAGGACAUGCGCGCCAGCAAACUCCCCGGCAUCCUUUACGAAUUGCUGGAGCCAGUCCCACGCCCGUUGCGCCUUCUCCACUGGAGUCAACUUCGGCGCGCGGGGCUGGCUCUCCGGAAGCUCGGGACUAAUCAGAUCUAGGACCGGGGAUACUCCUUUCUAGAUCUUACAACAAUUAACCUUCCAGGAGUCCCUGUCCUUGACCAGCUCAUCCAGGUGCUUCUUGGCGUUUACCUUGAGCACUGCGAUUCAAGCAGGGCGUUAUUUUCGAUAUAUCAAAAAACAAAGGGACGACAAGCGGCAGAUAACGAGGCGGCGCGCAUUACCAGAUAACUCCCGGUCCUUCCGACCCAAUUCCUCUCCUGCUCGGCGCCCGGACUCCAGCGCACCGGCGAGCUCCAGGCUGAGCUGCUCUUUCUCCUGUCGGAGGCACGCCACCUCCUCCUCCAAGCCUACGUGAAUCAUAACCUGGUCAGUAAAGCAGGCUACGCAGCUACACAAAGCUGCUCGGAGCGCGUGACUAACCUUCUCGCUGCCGGUACUGGUCGGCCAAGCGACGAGUGAGCUCGAGAUGACGCUCCUCCUGGGCGUUCAUCUCGGCCACCUUCUCCCCGACCUCCGACCGUAGCCGGUCCACCUCCGUGGUCAGGGCCUUGUUUUCGGCCACAAUUCCUUCUAUCUGGUCGAAGCACCUCUUCCGGUACUUCGCCGUUGUCAUGGCACCCUGCAAGAAGGUCACAUGUCAUCCCAGCAAGAUAACAACAAAACAAAAAGGAAAAAAAAGUCGAUCGGGGCAAAGAGUCACUUACCUUAACCUCAUCUACAAGACGUUUGGCUGCACGCUCCACCCUCGCAGCCUCCUCCGUCUCUGCAAGCUCUUCAUGACCAAUAAAGUGGUCCCCGCGUUGGCGCCACACGUAGACAUGCUGGUGGCCAUCACGGGGACGACCCUGGACCUCCUCCACGUCGUCGUCCGAGGCUUCCCGGGGCUCCUCAUUCGCCGCGCUGUUCUCGGCUGCGGUCGAAGGCAUUACGGGCCCCCGGCCUAGGCCAGGAGAGCUCGCGGGUGAAGAAGCCCCUGCUCAGGGCGGUGUCGGGCCCCUCCCUUCUUCGGCUGGAGUCGGGAUUCGGUUGUCCUCCUGAGCAGCAGCGCUCGGGGGAGGGGUCCUCGAAGCCUCCUCGUUCCUCGGCGGAGUACUCGCCGCGACACUCGCUGGGGCAGACUGCCCCUCUGUGCCUGCAGCAGCAGCCGUCACCGUAGGCUGAUCCAUGGCCUGCGGCGCGGCGUCGGCGGCGGCAGGAUCGGAUGCCCCCUGGUCGGUGGCGUGGUCGGGAUUGACAUCCGACGCCGCGCUAGAAGAACAAAGUACAUCUUAAAAAAAACGCCAAAAUACGUAAGUCGAACACUUACAGGUCCGAUCGACGGUGGGUCGCGCUGAACCUCCUCCUUGCCCGGCCGGUCGGCGCCUGCGCCCCCAUCUCGACAACGCGCGGAGCAGGAGGGUCGCUGGCACCCGAUCAGUAGUGGCCGGCGCACUAUCUGGGCGGCUCCGAGGUCGUCGAACUAGCGACGGUGCGGCCUCCUCGUCGUCGUCGUCGUCAACGAUUCGCACGAGCCGACGACGCUUCGGCGCUUGGCUGCUCUCCACCGGCAACGUCGGUACCGGCAAAGGAUCUGCCGCCAGUGGCCUUUUCCCCGCCACCCUCUCCUCGGUGGUUGGGACGGGGCGGGCCUGGUCCUCCUCACUGCUGGUGUACCGAUCACACCGUGCAGCAUCCUCUACCAGCGGAUCCUCCAUUGCGGGAUCCUCCAUCCCAGGCGCCAGUGACACAUACACUGUGCACCUGUCUACAUCUCCGAUCUACAAAAAGAAAUACAAACAAGUCAGCAUCCGACGAUAUAACGAAUGCUAAGGAGUCAGUCAGUAAAGGACAUUACCUUAGGGGCUGGUCCUCCCAGCUUGAAAGCUUGCACCCGAUCGCUACCACGGAUGAAGCCCCCGUCAGCAAAGUUGAACAAUUCGUUCAACAACUGCUGCACCUCUUCCUUCUCCAGGACCUCAGGCCUCAUCCUGGUCGGGUCCUGGCUCCCGGCGUACUCGUACGCCGAGUGCACCCUCUUCUGGUAGGGCAUCCCUCGACGGCAAACAAAGUUGCCGACCACCCCUAGCCCGUCCAAGCGCGACCAGUCGAUCAGCUUCAUCAAGUCUGCUACUUGUCCGUCGAAUUCUGGGCGGUCGGUCCAACUGACCCUCUUCUCGGGGAUGUACCCCACGUCACAGAACGUGGAGCUUCCCGGCUCCUCCCUGACAUAGAACCAUUUCUUAUACCACUCGGUAAGAGAGGUAUUCCAAGGGCAGUUCAGGUACCGGUUUUUCAUCCCGUCCCGGAGAUUGAGGUAUACUCCACCUGCAAUCUUGGAGCCUCCAACUGCUCCCUUCUUCCUUAAGCAGAAAAGAUAACGAAAGAGAUCGAAGUGCGGCUCUAUGCCAACAUAGGCCUCGCACAGAUGGAUAAAAGUGGAGAUGAGGAGAAUUGAGUUCGGGUGCAGAUUGCAAAUCCCGAUCUCAUAAUACAAAAGAAGACCUUGAAGAAAAGGAUGAACAGGAACCCCAAAGCCCCUCUUAAUGAAAUCUUCAAAUACGACGAUCUCACCGGCGCGGGGGUCGGGGUAGCUCUCUCCCUCCGGUGCCCUCCAGCCGCCGAGCUCCGGGCUGUGCAGAAGGCCCAUAUCGACGAGGUCACCAAGAGAUUUGGUGGUGCUGCGGGACUUCUUCCACUCCUUGGCCAUCAGUUCGGCCCUCUUCUUAGAGUCGCUCUUCGCCAUUGGAGGCGAGAAAGUGGGCUUGAGUUAGGAAGAUGCAGGUGAUUAAAGGAGGCAAGAGUGGAAGGCUUGAAGGCAAUGGCAGGGUAAGCAGUACAGGCGGAACUGUCGGGCUCUUAUAACCCGCAACUCCACCUAUCCCACUUCCCGUAUUCUCGGGAAGUGGGCGGGCCAUGCGGCGGAUGCGGCGUUUCAGUUUUCAAUGAUUAUAGACAAUUAAUGCGGCGGAGUUUUUGUAUCAAUUGAUGGUUUCCUUUUCUCAAACCAUGCAAAGGGUGGCUGCACAGUUGCCAGGCGCAACUUUUCACGCAUCCAUCUAACACCCCGUCAGGAGGUCUCGUCACGUCAACUUUAACUGGAAAGAUCUGUUCAAAAGCAAGAAGACAAAUGUGGCAGAGAGUCAACAAUCCGGGAACUGCACCGACCACCGAGCACUUGAUGCUCGGGGACUGGUCGCCCAGUCUAUCAGCUCGGAACUUCAAAGACUGCACCGACCACCGAGCACUUCAUACUCGGGGAUUGGUCGCCUAGUUUAUCGACUUGGAACUUCAAGGACUGCACCGACCACCGAGCACUUGAUGCUCGGGGACUGGUCGCCCAGUCUAUCAGCUCAGAACUUCAAAAUAUCGCACCGACCACUGAGCGCUCGAUGCUCGGGGACUGGUCGUACAGUAUAGCAAUGCAGAAUUCUAAGGAGCGCACUUGGUGCUUGGGGACUGGUCGUCAUACUAUUGUACACCCGGGGACUGGUCGAUUAGUCCAUUUAAUUGCCGACGAACUGGUAAAUUUAGUUUUUUAGACCUUGCUACAAGGCUCAUACUUCGCCUUCCAGCAAGCUCGGGGACUACAUCGGUACGAUGCAUCUGGCGAUGCAUCUCAGUUACAGAAUUUCUUUGAGGACUUUUCUUUUGACCCUGGCACCACGUGCCUACGUCACCUACUACCAGGCUCGGGGACUAAGUGGGCACACUUCACCUUGCGGUGAAUAUGCUUGCUUUUUUGAGAAUAAUACCUUACAAAAAAGUAAAGUGGGCACACUUUACCAGGAAAGAAAUCUUUUUUAAUUUAGAGCACCAUGCAUUCUUCGAACAACCUGCUUCUUCGAUGUCAAUGAUGAUCAACUGUCUUUUGAGUUGGCCAAAGUACCGUUGCAACUAUUUGGGCGACUUUCCUGCUUAUUGAAGACGUCAAGCCUCACUGAUCGAAGAAGCUCAAGACGGCGUGUUACAUCACAAUACAUGGUGCUCGGGGACUAGCUGUGGGGGUAUAAACCCCUAUACCCUCACGGCUAGACUUGGGCCAGGAGGUUUGGCCCAUUACGUGACGAGUUCAAGGCUUGAUCCGACUGCUUGGAGUUUCGCGCAAGGAGACAAGAUGUGGAGAUCAAGCAGGAUUCUAGUCGGUUAGAAUAGGAAUUGAUAUCAAAUUAUCCAUGGCAAUUGUAACCGACUAGGAUUAGUUUCCAGAUCUGUAACCCUGCCCUCUAGACUAUAUAAGGAGGGGCAAGGGAGCCCCCUAGGACACAUUGUUCCCUCAACACAAAUCAAUACAACCAGACGCAGGAUGUAGGUAUUAUGCCAACUCGGCGGCCGAACCUGGAUAAAAAGCUUGUCCGUGUCUUGCGUCACCAUCGAGUUCGUAGUUUGCGCACCGUCUACCGAUAAACUACUACUGUGGGUGUACCCCAAGGUAGACUGCCGACCAGCUUUCGUCGACAGUACCCCUGUGAGGAAAAGAGUGCAGACCUUGGAUUGCAAAAAGGUAGAGAGAAAAAGAAAACAAGUGUAUCUAAAGACAUGGAUGCCGCCGCUUAUUUUGCGGGGGUCAUCCUUACACUCAAAUGUAAAAUCUUCGUAGAUUGUCGACGUUCCACGUGUGGGUGGAGGUUCUACCUUCGAGGUCUUUCAGGUAGAAGGAUCCCGACCUUCCAGUUUGUAUUGCUGUAUAAGGUCCCUCCCACUUGGGUUGCAAUUUACCAGCGUGUGGGUGAUCUCCUUUUUUCCUGAGUACCAAGUCUCCAUCUUGUAUGUCUUUCCGUACUACCUUUCGGUCUCUCCAUUUUCUGGUUUCUUGUUGAUACGUGGUAAUGUUCUCUACUGCCUCAAGUCUUAUUGAUUCUAAGGUUUCCUUGCAGUACCCUUCAUCUUCAGCCAACUCCUGCUUCAUGGAACGUAGACUUUGGUGUUUGAUUUCUUCUAGCAACAUCGCUUCUUCCCCAUAUAAGAGCUUGAAUGGGGUGAACCCGGUUGCUCUUGAGACUGUUGUGUUAUGAGACAACACAACUCUAGGUAGCUCGUCAACCCAUUUCCCCUUUCGUAGGUUGAGUAAGGUCUUGGAGAUUGCGGAGAAUAUUAUUCUGUUUGCUCUCUCGACGGCCCCGUUUGACUCUGGGUGGUAGACAGACGUGAAAGCAAUCUUGGUUCCUAUGUGACGGCAGAACUCCUUGAAAUUGUCUGAAUCAAACUGCUUUCCGUUGUCGACUGUGAGCAAGCUUGGAACUCCGAAUCUGCAAACUAUGUUCUGCCAGAAAAAAUUUUUGAUCGUUUCAGAAGUUAUGGUUGCCAGUGGCUUAGCUUUGAUCCAUCUUGUGAAGUAUUCGAUGGCCAUGACGGCGAACUUGUUUCCCCCCUGGGCAGUUGGCAUCGGUCCUACUAGGUCCAUUCCCCAUCUUUGCAGCGGCCAUGAUGCAGAUAUGAGCUGAGUUGGUGCUGAAGGUCCUGAUUGCAUCGUUGAGAAGGUUUGGCAGGCUUUGCAUGUCUGCACUAUUUCUUCAGCAUCUUUGACGUGAGUUGGCCAGUAGAAGCCUUGUCUUAAUGCUUUGGCAGACAAUGUGCGAGGUCCAAUGUGAGACCCGCAUAUUCCAGAGUGUAUCUCUUGCAGGAGUUCUCUGCCCUCAGUUUGUGAUAUGCAUUUCAGCAAAGGUUGGACUACACCUUUCUUGUACAAGGCACCGUCAAUGAUGGUGUAAUUCCUUGCUCUUGUCUCCAUCCUCUUGGCUAAUGCUUCAUCAUCUGCAGCUGUUUUGCCUUUGAGGGAGUCAGCUAUUGCCUGCCUCCAAUCCUCGCCUUCUGUCAGCAGGACUGAGCGAAAAGCUUUCGGCAACGAUUCAGUUGUGGGUGCCACGAUGAUUUGGUAGAAGGUUUCUUCUGGUAAGGGGGUGUUGCUGGCUACCGCUUUUGCUAGCUCAUCUGCCUCGUAAUUCUCGGCUCUUGGAAUGUACUGCAGAGUGAACCCUUUGAACCUUCUCUCCAGGUUCCCCACGACGGCCAAAUAUCUUGCUAGCUCCGGGUUGUGUGCUAGGUAUUCCUUCUCCACUUGUCCUGCCACCACCUGGGAGUCUGUUUUGAUGAGCAGGGUUUUGGCUCCCGAAGCCUUAGCUUUGUUGAGCCCGAGGAUGAGCCCUUCAUACUCAGCUAUGUUGUUUGUUGCUUUGAAUUCAAGUCUCGCGGCAUAUUUCAGCUUGAGGUCGGAUGGAGCGAUCAGAACGGUUGCUGCUCCUAUUCCUGAUUGCCCCCAGGCGCCAUCUGUAUACAGUGUCCAUGGUUGGUCGACUACCUUCUCAUUUUCUUUGUUCGAAGGUGUCCAAUCUGCCAUGAAGUCAGCUAGGGCUUGAGACUUGAUGGAGGUUCUGGGGACAUAGGUGAUUUCGAACUGCGAUAGCUCAGCCACCCAUUUCCCUAUGCGCCCGGAGGCCUCCUUGUUCCUAAGGAUGUCACCAAGUGGCUGUGAAGUGGGUACCUGGAUCUCAUGGCUUUGGAAGUAAUGUUUGAGCUUUCUUGAUGCACAUAGAACUGCAUAUGCGAUUUUUUCUAUCUCUAUGUAGUUCAUCUUUGCUCCUGACAAAGCUUCGGAUACAUAGUAGACGGGUCUCUGAACCUUCCCCUUGUUGUUACUUGUCUCGUGCACCAAAACAGCGUUGACGGCAUGCUCAGAGGCAGCCACAUACAGCAGUAGGGGAGUGUCUGGCUCGGGCACAGUUACCACCAGAUUGGUCGCAAUGUAGUUCUUGAGCCGCCUGAAGGCCUCUGACUGUUCCGGGCCCCAUCCUGUUUUGCCUUCUCCUCUUAACACUUUGAAGAAUGGUAGGCUUCGCUCCGCUGAUCUUGAGAUGAAUCUGUUGAGGGCUGCUUUUCGGCCAGUUAGCCUUUGCACUUCUUUCUUGUUCGAAGGUUCUGCCAUUGACAUAAUUGCCUUUGUUUUGUCUGGGUUAGCUCUGAUUCCUUCGGAGCUGAUGAUGUACCCCAGCAUUUUUCCCUUGCUGACCCCGAAUACGCAUUUUUCCGGGUUAAGUUUCAGCCCGGUAGACCUGAGGUUGACAAAGGUUUCUUGCAGGUCCUUGAUAUGAUCCUCUUUGCAUUUGCUCAUGACGACAACGUCGUCGACGUAGGCUAUGAUGUUCCUCUGCAGCUGACUUCCCAGGACCUUCCCCAUCAUUCUAGAGAAGGUUGCUCCUGCAUUCUUGAGGCCUUCCGGCAUUCUGGUGUAGCAAUAUGUGCCAAAUGGAGUUGUGAAACUUGCCUUUCCCUCGUCUUCCUUCUUGAGCCAAAUUUGGUGGUAUCCUGCAGUGAAAAUCUCUGGCAAUCGGUGGCUUUGUCAACAGAGGUAUCUAUCCUUGGCAAGGGGAAGGAGUCUUUGACACAAGCUUUGUUGAGAUCUGUGAAAUCUAUGCACAUUCUCAUUUUGCCAUUCUUCUUAGGGAUCAGGACCACAUUUGCCAACCAUUCUGGUUACAUGAUCUCUCUGAUGACAUUCGCAUCCAGAAGUCUUUGCACCUCUGCCUUCGCCGCUAAGGUUCUUUCCUCAGACAUCUUCCUCUGCCUUUGUUUCUUCGGCCUCAUUCUUGGGUCGAUGUCCAGUGAAUGCUCUAUGAUGUCUCUGCAGGUCAGUGGCACUCCAGGCAAAGAUAUCCUGAUUCUUCUAUAGCACGUCCAGCAACUCAACCUCCUCCUGCAUGCUGAGGGUAGCGGAUAUGGUGACUUUCCUAUCUGGUACUGCCGCCUGUAAAGGGACACAUUUCGUUUCCUCUUGAUCGGCCAGGUCUGUUUUCCCCCUUGGCAUGUCUAGUGGCUGGGAAGCUUCUUCUUGCGUGGAGUCUACGAAGUUUAUAUUUCGGAAGGACUUAUAGAUCGCUUUCUCUAUGUUUCUUGCCUCCUUUUGACUCCCGUGAACAGUGAUCACUCCAUGGAGGGCCGGGAUCUUCAUGCAUAGGUAUCCCAUAUGAGCUGCCGCAUUGAAUUUGUUUAAGAACCCUCGCCCGAAUAUGGCGUUGUAUGGGUAGUGCAGGUCUACCACGUCGAAGGUGACAUACUCUGUUCUUGCGUUUUCCGUCGUGCCAAAGGAUACAGGUAGGGCGACCUUACCCAGAGCAUGUAUCUGCUUUCCUCCGAACCCGAUCAAGGGUGAUUCCGAAGGUUGGAGCUUGCUUCUGCUGAGCUUCAUUUUGUCGAAGGUUCCGGCAAAUAUUAUGUCUGCGGAACUUCCUGAAUCUACUAAGAUCCUGCUGACUCCCCAACCCGCAAUAUUUGUUGUUAUGACCAUGGCGUCCGUGUGUGGGUAGCUUUCUAACCAUAGAUCUUCCUCGGUGAAGGUUAAUGGGGUUCUGGACCAAUCGGUGCAGCGGACCGGCCCCUGAACCGCAACAUUGUUAACGAGCCGGAGGUGAUCCUUCUUCUGCUUCUUUGUCUGGAACUCCAUUGAGAACCCUCCAGCUAUUGGUAAGAUCAUCCCAAUCGUGGGCAGCGGUGUAUGGGGGCCGAUCUAAUUAUCAGGGUGGGGUUCGGUUUUUGGUGGAGGUGGAGCCUGGACCAAUUGUAGUUGAUUUGGGGGAGGAGGUAGGGGCUGCUGGUGGGGUUGUGGGGUUUCGAUGUAUGUAAUCUGUGGAGGUCGUGGAGGAGCAUAGGUCGGUGGAAGGUUGUGGUGUGCGGGCUGCUGGGCUGGGCGCCAAGCUGGUAGGAAGCUGGGAUAGUAAGCGGAUGCUAGCGCGCUGGGCUGAAUUGGAGCUGGGUGCUGCUGGCCCGAUCCUUCGACGUAUGACUGGUAGAAGGUCUGGGGGAAUGUGUGAUUCACCUCCCGAGGUUGAGCGACCGACGGCGAAGGUUGCGGAGCUGACCUGCUCUUGAUCCUCUCCUGAGUUUCUUUUGCAUCCGGGCAAUCCCUGGUGGAGUGACCCUUCUCCUCCCCAUGGAAGAAACAAUACUGCUUCCGCGGCCGCUGCUUCUGAUUCUUUUGCCAUCCUGUGUUUCCACCUCCUCCUCCUCCGGCUUGAUUGGGUCCGCGUUCCGGGUUUCACGGCUCUGCCGGUGGACGGUUAUGCUCCGACUUGUCAUUCCUCGGUUGCUCAAUAUUCAUCAUCUGUCCACCAGCCUCUCGCUGUUGCUGGCGUUCAUCCCGGCUAAGGUUCUUCUUCUGUGAGUUUCUAUCAUUGCUCUGCUUCUUCUGAGAGUUUUGGUCUUCCAUUCUCUUGCGGUAGUCGUUGUCUGACCUGCAAUACUUCUCAAACUCAUUGUACAGCUCGUGCAUGGAUGCUGGCUUUUCUCUGGCCAAGUGAGCUGCAAAGGGCCCUAUGCGAAGACCUUUGAUGGCUGCCUCAAUGGCAACCUCCUCCGGCACACCGGGUGCUCUUGCCUUAGUCUGCACGAACCUUUGGAAGUAUUCCCGCAGUGCUUCUCCUUGACUCUGGCGACACUGGAACAGGUCCGUGGAGGUUAGCGACUCAACAGCGAAUCCUUGGAAAUUUGCUAAAAUCUUAUCUCGAAGGUUCUCCCAUGAAUAGAUCGACCCGGGCCUGAGCAUAGAGUACCAUGCCAAGGCAUCUUCUUCGGCCGCGAUCACAAAGGAUUUAGCCAUCACAGUUUUAUUCCCUCCACCUGAAGCUACAGCUGCCUCGAAACUCAUCAGGAAUUGGUGGGGGUCAGCCUUUCCGUUGAACUUAGGGAGCUUGAUUGGUUUGUAGGUUGUCGGCCAAGGUGAGGUCUGCAAUCCUUCGGACAGAGGGGAACGAAGGUCCAACGUGCUCCGCAGCGUGCUACCGUAGUUCGCCGGCUGCACAUCCAACGUUGGGCCGGCGCUGGGCAGAACAGUGGGCUGGAUCGUCGGCUGAGGUGGAGGUUGUAUGCUAAGGAUCUCUACCUGCAGGAUUGAAAGCUGCUGCCUGAUCUCAGCUGCUUGCACCGCGGCCACUGCUGCCUCUUAGCCGGCGGCAUAGGCGGCAGCGAUCCGGUCUCGCUCCAGCUGAAGGUUCUGCAACUGCGUCUGCAGUAGCUGGAGCUCUUGCGUGGCCGUGGGUUGUGCCGGCCCUGCGGCGGGAGGAGGUUCCUGGCCGGGCUCCGGUUGCUCGUUCUCCGGCUGCUCGCCCUCAGAGCCUUCCCCCUCUACGGUCGCAUACGUGCUCCGCACGGCCCUUCUCGGCCUUCCUCACCUCGAGGGCUCCGGCUGAGGUCUUGUGGUGGUUGAUCUCUUUCUAGCCAUCGCAGGUGAUCCUUCGCGCCCCACGGUGGGCGCCAAUGUUGGGAAAAUGCUCUUCGCACUCCCCAGCAAUGCAGUGAAGCGAGAACCUUCUCACUCGGUGCCGUGAGAGGAUGAACAGUAACGAACAGAAAGCUCAACAGUAGGUGAAUACAAUGAAUGCUCUCUCUCUCUCUUAUUAAUGACGGUAUCACGCCCCUUAUAUAGGGCUCAGAAACCGACCUAAUGACAUUUACAAAAAUGCCCCGUGACGGUGGGGAAUAUCCCAGCAUAUUCUCAUAUUACAGUCUACUGGCCCUAAACCAAUUGUGUAAUUUCACAUUACAAACCCCAGGUAUGUCCCCUGUCUGAGGCUUCAGCUGGUCGAAGGCUUGGAUCCUUCGCCCAAUCGCGGAUCCUCCGACGCUUUGGUGUCGGAGGUUCCCCAGCCUGGCCGGGCCGGAGGUUCCACGGCCUGGCCACACUAGAACUUCCUCAGUCUGCCUGGUCACCGAUCCUUCGACGCUUCACCGUCGGAGGUUCCUCAGCCUGGCCGGACCGGAGGUUCCUCGGCUUGGCCGCGUCCCUCGCCCAUCCUUGGACUUGGGAGGAUCGGAGGUUCCCCCAUUUCUUUGCUUGCGGGCCUCCGCCGGCGUCUCAGUCCCUGCGUACACUUAGCAAGGCAAGAUGAGUCGUCAACGUUAGUUUUUCUCAGGAACCCCCGCACGUAUUCGUACGGAGGUUCCCUGGGUGAAGGAUAUCCUUCGACGCCACCAGGGGGAAGGAUGCGGCCAGCCCCCAACACUCGAUAUUAGGAAAGGAGAUCACCUCUUUGUAGUCCUUGAUUUGAGCUCACCUUAUAAUCAUGGUUGUAUCUAAAGGUGCCUUGUUCUCAUAACAUUCGCUAAUUCUUCAAGCGAAAUUAACCUUUGUUGGACCAACUCCUAGAUCUAGAAGAGGCAGCCAACGGAGGUGUCGGUAAUGGUGGUGGAGUCCAGAACCCUAGGAUUGGGAAGCGGUGGGGAAUCAAUGGUCCAAAGUUGGCCAAAGAACACCACAAGCUCCUCACCCUCUUCCGUCAGGGGCCCAAAGUGGUGUCUCCUAUGACUACACCAUCACUCACUUGUGGGUCCGUGUAACAUCCCUGAUGUUACGGUUACUAAAAACGGAUCAUGUCAUCAUAAGCAUGGUAAAGCAUAAAUGUUAAAGCACAUUAGUAUGCAUCAACUUAAAAAUAAGUUUACUUUGAUUACUUGAGCUUAGGGAAGUAGAGUGUGUUUUUGUGGUGUGUUGUUGCUUGUGUGGUUGCUAAAACCCUAGGGUGGAAGUUUUCCGAAGAGCUAAGGGGGGGGAAAACCCUGAUUUUUGAACCCUAGAACUGCCCCCUUUUGUGCAAUUCAAAAACUAAGCAAAAUUUGAGGUUGAGUUCAAAAGCAAAGUUGUAGAUCCUGGAAAGAUGUACAACUUUGGUGUUUUGAGUUUUUGAAGUUUCAAUACAAAAUUCAAAGUAAUUUUGAAAAUACAGAUUUCCAGAAAGUGUCCCCUUUUCCAACUUAAACCCCCAAUUCAAAAUCCAUUUGGAAUUUUGAAAAGUGGUCAACAUGAAAGUUGUAGAGCACAAAAAGUUGAGCAACUUUCAUGUUGGGAGUUUUUCAAGUUGUUAUACAAAAUCAAAAGUAAUUUUGGAAAUUCUGUUUUGCCCCAAUUCAAAAAUUUGGAAUUUCUUUGAUUUGAGUUUGAUUUUCAAACUGUUUGGCCAAAUUCACCCUGUUACACUCAAAAUCAGCUCUGGUCACCAAAACAUGUUUUGUAGCUUAUAAAAUUUGGCACAAUUUUUGUUUUGGUGGAAUUUGGAGUUUAGUUCAAAUUUUGGCUGAUUUUCGCAAGGGGACAAAAGAGAGGAGAUAAGGGGGAGCUACAGUGAUCGGCAGGGGGGGGUGUUCUGCCGCCGGGGCAGAGCCGCCUCCGCGCGCGCCGCCACGCAGCUGGCCACGCAGCUGCCUGCUGCCGUGCUUCGCGUGGACGUCCUCAUCCGCAAACCGCCGUUCGUUGUGGGGAUAAAGCCCCGAGUGGCCAGAGUCCCCUCUUCCUUUUCUUGAACCCCGACGCCGACGAGCUCCCUGCGCCCCUCCAAUUCGCCUUACUCGCUGCCGUUUCAAGCCACCUGAGCACCCCAGCAGCUCCGCCGUGAGCCCAGCCACCAAUUGCGCCCCCAAGCGCAAGCACUAACCCACCAGAGCCCUUUCCCGAGCUGUUUCUCCCCCAACUCCGGCCGAGCACCACCGCAAGAGCGUCACCGUGGCCGGCUUCACCCUGCGCCUCCCCGCUGCUGUUUCUUGCUUCGUUGAAGUCGCGGUGAGCUACGGAUGCUCUUGCGCUGCUCAAUUAGCGUUUUACUCCGGUGUAGUGAUCGGUGUUCAUCUAACCGAGGCGGCCGUCCGCCGCGUCCGUGGCCGGGGUAGCUAGAGUAGGAGAGAGCAGGGGUAAAGGAGCUCUACGGGUGCGCAAGGGUCGGGAGAAGCUAACGCACCUCACCGCGAGUGCCGGGGUCUCACCGGUGUUGCGGUGAAGUUCGCCGGAGCGGUGGCGCGGGGUUGAAGGCGAAGCUGACGGGCGGGACCCGCCCGUCAGUCGCUGCGGGUGGAGAGGGGGCAGCGCGCGCCGUCCGCGCGGGAGCGCCCCUGGGCCGAUUUGGCCGUAUCCAAGCGGGCCAUCUGCGCGGCGCGUGAGCGGGCCGAGCGCGCGUGGGCUGGCCUGCGGGCUAAGUUCCAGGCCGCCCGCCUCAGGGAAAAACCUUUCUCUUUUUCCUUUUAUACAAAUUUUGCUGAAUGUUUGAAUUUGUGUAAUAAUUCGUGUGCUAAUCCAAAAAUCGUGGAAAUUUUUGUGUAGGCUCUCUGAAGUAAGUAGAACCCAAGAAAAAUAUUAAGUUCUGUUUUCUGGUAGUUUACAUGUCUGUAAAAAUUUGCCCUUUUAAUUAGCAAAUAAAACUUGUAUGAAUUCUAAUAAUUUAAUUGUAUGUCCAAAAAUCACCAAAAAUUGUGGGGAGCCUCUGAAUAUUAUUCCCUGGCUCCACCUAAAAUUUGGUGGCAUUUGGAUAAGGUUUGGUUAAAAUGUUAAUAAACCCUUAUUUAGUAUUUAAUUAAUCAUUCUAAAAUAAGUAAAUAGUGAUUAACUAAAUCUUCAUAAUUAGGGUUGAGUGAUUUUGGAUUAUGUGAUGACCUGAGGUCAUUAACCCUAAUGACCUUUGACAUGUAAAUAUUGUUUAGCCUUAAUGCUUAAUUAUUGUCAUUAGUAAUUAAUUAAGAAUUAAUUAAGGUAAAUAGGUUUAAUAAUUACCUAAUGUAAGAUAAUUAUGAAUUAAAUAAAGUCUUAGUUUACAGAUGCAACCUCUUGGGUAAAAAUAUUAAGUUAUUAAGCAACUUUAUUUGGUGAUAAUUCUAUACUGCAUUAAAAAGGCAAAUUGUACUUAAUUCGGUCCAUCUUGCAUAAUUGCCAUACGCAUAUCAUAAGCAUUCAUCAUUUUGCGUAUAGUGCACGUGACCGAAGGAGCGCCCGUUGAACCGAACCCCGAGGUCGGUGCUCCGUUCGAGGAAGUAGGAUCCGAGACUUGGGAAGUCUCCGAGGGUCCCUCUCUGCCCUGCAACCAAGGCAAGCCCCGGAUGCAUUAACCCCUCCUUGGUGUUUUAAAUCUUUUAUCACUUAUGAAUUGAAAAUGCUGCAUUAAGUAGUUGAGAAUUGGGUUAACCUACUUGCUGCAUUUACUACCUUGAUAUCUAUAUCCUGUCCUUGACACCUGUUUUAUUUUAAAACUGCGUAGCAAUGCUUAACCCUGCUACUAGAUAAGUUUUCAAACAAGAAAGUUUGAAGGGUUGUUGUGGGAUACACUUAUGGACAAUGAUAUUUCAACUUGAGACCGGUCGGUGGACUUGCUUUAAGAAUGGAGUCUUAAAGUAGUGUCUCCAACUGUGUCGGUUAAGGACCGGUCCGUUGAUGGCCUGCUGGGUUGAGAAUUUAUAGUACUAGCCACUUGCCUACGGUAAGCCCAGUCUUGUGAUCCCUCGACGCGAACAGCUACUCGCGCACUGGGAGUGGAAAGAUGGCGAGAGUAGUGUGUACCCACCUUACGGAUCUGAGAUGACCGGAAAACAUCUAGAUCGGCUGUAGGAUGGUGGAGUACUGUGCUCUCGGGUGCCGCGAACCUGGUCAAAUUUGGGAAGAGCUUGUUUUGGGUUGAUAUAUGCAAGAUUUGGUUCUACAUAUGUCGGGUGGUUAGGAACUCCAGCUGGAUUGCUAAGCGAUUCGAAUCGUCGUUGCUCCCCGAUUGGGAGACUCAAUUCCUUCGACCCUCAUCGUAGUUAAAUAUGCAACUAAGUGAUAUAAUGAGAAAGGGGAAAAUGUCUCAUGAGGUUCGGAUCCCAAUUCCCGGACUCAUAGCGACAUGAAGCUAUGACCAUCGAUAAAUAAUACUUAAUGAUAGGGUUAGGAACUCACGGAUUCGUCUGUGGGGAACAACUAGUUAGACUAUCCUCGAAUUCUUCUGCCUCUGCGAGGGAGGAAUUCAGGGUAAAACUUGAAAAUAAGGAUGCACUACUAGUAAGCUUUUCCGCAAAACACUUUGGCUCCUUGCUCAGCCACCCCUUGUCUACCCUAAGCCUGCAUCCCUAAAUUCUCCUCUUUUCCCGUCGGAUAAGUCUUGUUGAGUACUCCCGUACUCAGGGUUUCAAUACCCCUGUUGCAGGUGAAGCUCAGGAGCCGGCUUGUUUCGGACCCUGUUGUGUGACCGUCGUCGAGGUUGACGACGAAGAAGAGUGAGCGUGACCCAUGGGCAGGGUCUGUAAAUUUGUUGUGUCUCUACUAAAGUUUAAGUUGCUCCGCUGGACCAGGCUUGUAAUAACACUCUACUAUUUGGAAGAACUCCUUUUGUAAAUUAAGUUAUGUAAUACUUCCGCUGUUUCACUCCGAAAUGCUAUUUUGGUCUUGUGUCGUUGAGUUACUGCUUUAUCUUCGCAACGAAUGAUCCUGGUGUUAAGGUGGCCACUUGCUACCCUGUAAGGGCGAGAAGAAACAGUUCUCGUUGUUUGACCAUUAUCAGUGGUCAGGACGAGCCAGCUUGGUACGCCACAGGUAGCAGUGGUAUGAGCGCCCAGCAAUGCUCAUCGGACUUCUAAAGUGGGAGGACUCCCGACAUCGCCGUCAGAGGUCCUUAGGACAAUGGCAGGUGUCGGUGGGCCCAAACACUUAGGAGGUUCUGCCACAGCUGGUAUCAGAGCAUUCGUUGCUAAGAUGACUGCGGAACCUUUUGAAAAACUUCAACAAUUCGUUUGGAACUAAUACUAAGAACCUGCUUAUUUUGAGUCCAAGUGCUUAGUCCUGACCCACCCCUGUCUAUAGUUUUUCUUAGAAUUUUUGAAGUGGGUUGGAGGAGCAACCUAAAGUAUUGCCCUAUGUUGUAAAAGUUAAAGUAAUAUCGUUACGAAUUGUUAGUAGGAAUCGUAAGUUCGUGCAUGCAUCAUAAUGUAUUAACUGAUUAAGUUCCUUCCUCCUUGUUUGGGUUGGGUGAAUAGAAUCAAUCCUAUUCUUGCUAACCUUUAAGGUCUCUCUUACUAAUCUAAACUUACCCUCUACAGGAUGGCUCGUCAGAAGCAGACCCCGCGUAAGCGGACAGGUCCAAAAGGAGUUCCCCGACAUCAGCUAGCUCCACGUAGUGAUCAAGCCAGUAGUAGCCGCACACCGCCUCAGCAGGAGGUGGACAGGCUGUCCGCCGAGUUGACUGAGGUGAUGAGAGAGAGAAUGUACAAUGUUAUGGAGAUUGGCAAACUCAAAGCUCAACUGGCCAAAGAAAAACAAGCUACAGAAAAUUGUGAAGCUAUGUUGUCCCGGAUGGUGGAGGAGCGGAAUGCAGCCGUUGCUCGAGAGGAAGAAGCUAGGAGCACCCAUAGGCAUGAGCUAACUAGGAUGAACGCAAAGUUGGGCAAGGCAAAGUAUCUCAAGGAUUUGUAUGUGAAGAUGGCGGCCACGGUCACCGCACAACGGGAUGUCGCGUGGCAACGAGAGGACCAGCUCCAGCUGGAGAAACUGGAGCUGGCAUAUCACUUAGAUACAGUCAAUGACAUGGCUAUGCAAUAUCGUGAUAUUGCAUUUGAUCUGUAUCAUCAACUCCACCCACCUCCCGGCGAAGGAGAAAUGGAUACGGAUGGCGAGUUGGCAGACGAUGGAGAACCCGACCCCGGCCUCAGUGGUGAAGAGGAGUCCGACCCCGAUGAUCACAACCCAGGGGGUAAUCAAGAUGAUGGCAACAACGACCCGGGCUACAGCUCUGGCCACACCGAUUAGUUCGGUGAAACCGAGGGCAACGUCGUUGUAGGGGUCUUAGCUUGCCGUAGUGGGGUUCGGAUUUGUAAUAUAAGUUUUCUUUCGGUUUGAGAAGUUGAACUUGUUUACUCUUGGUGUGUAUCUAAUUAGUGUUUAAUAAGUGAAUGUAAGAUAUGUUCUGGGUUAUGAAUUCUACAUGGUAACAGGUAUCUACGAUUCUUGUAACAGAUGCCGAUGCGUACUCGCGGAUCCGAUGGAGCUGGGACAUCCCAGGGAGGGGAUGAUAUCCCCAACCCUCCACCUGCUCCACCUUCUUUGGCUGACGCCAUUGCUGUCCUGCUAAGUGCCACAACUGACAAUGCUCGCUUGCUGCGCGAGCUAGCACAGCGUCAAACACACCCUGCUUCACACUCUAGGGCACCGCGCAACGGGGAUGGAGAGGCUCGGUAUGUGGAUUUCACCGAGACCAGGCCCCCGGUGUUCACUAAGGCCGAUGAGCCUUUAGAAGCGGAUGACUGGCUCCGAACUAUGGAGCAUAAGUUCAGUUUAAUUCAGUGUUCAGAAACUCAGAAACCCUUAUUUGCAGCCCAGCAGCUUCGGGGAGCUGCAGGUGCUUGGUGGGAGAACUUCUUAGCUAUUCAAGCUCCCGGACACCAAGUUACCUGGACCGAGUUUAGGGACGCCUUUCGCGCCCACUAUAUCCCCGAAGGGCUCAUGGCCAUGAAGGCCGAAGAGUUUCUCGCCUUGCAGCAAGGCGACAAAAGUGUUAUGGAAUACGUGGCAAGGUUUAAUCAUCUUUCUCAAUAUGCCACGGAUCAUGUGAACACUGACAGAAAGAGGAAAGCCUGUUUCAUGCGUGGUCUAAAUACUAAACUUCAGACCAUGAUGACCACAUGCCAAAAUGUUACUUUCUAUGAGGCGGUAAAUAUUGCGAUCGCCUCAGAGGAAAAGAAUAGGAAACAUAAGGAAGCCAAGAAGAAGGCUGCUUCCUCUUCUUUCUCUGGUCGCGGUCAAAAGCGCCAGAGGGUCAUUUAUCAUCCACAAGGCCACGGACGUUUCCAAACGCCGAUACCUUAUCGUGGUCCUUUCUCCCCUCCACAGUACAGACCUGGGCAGCAGGUAUAUUCCCGACCUACUGCCAUCGCUUUUGCACCACGCCAGCCGAACGCCCCGGGUGUUCGCCCUACUGCUCCGCCCAGCCACAAUUACCCUUGCUUCAAUUGUGGUAAACCUGGGCAUUUCUCUAAAGAGUGCCCUUUUCCUCGUCAAACCAACCCUACCUUUCCCAGGCCACCUAUGGGCCAACCCCAGCCGAGUCAGUUCAGGACUGGGGCUCAAAAAGGGCAACAGGUACAGAAAGGUAGACCGGUAAAGAAGACAGGGCAAGUCUUCCAUACUGAAGUGGAGACGAUUCCAGAGGGUGAACCAGUGAUGAUGGGUACGUUUCCUGUUGCGAAGCAUCCUGCUUUAAUGCUCUUUGAUUCUGGUGCAUCCCAUACAUUUAUCAAUCGCACCUUUGUGUUAAAGCAUGGCAUACCCAUUGGGGAAACACAAGAUCAUUUUUAUAUACAGUCGCCAGGAGGACGGCUGAUGUCUAAAGAAAUGGUUCACCAAGUACCCAUCGAAUUUGGUGGGCACAAUUUUCCUACUAACAUGAUUGUUCUUAAGGACCAAGAAAUUGAUGUUAUCUUAGGCAUGAACUGGAUGGCGCAACGAGGGGUUGUGCUAGACACUUUGCACCGAACCAUUAAAAUCCCAUUGCCCAAUGAGAGUUCUUACUUGCUAAUCCAACUAGUUACUCCCAAACGGACAAUUGGGCAAGUUCAUGCCGCUAAUGUGUCUGAAGUUAAAGAUAUCCCGGUAGUUCGAGAUUUCCCGGAUGUAUUUCCUGAAGACUUACCAGGUCUGCCUCCGGACCGGGAUGUACAAUUCAGUAUAGAAUUGAAACCAGGGACGGCCCCAAUAUCUCGAAGGGCCUACAGAAUGGCACCAAAAGAGCUGGCCGAAUUAAAAACCCAAUUACAAGAGUUGUUGCAGAAGGGUUUUAUUCAGCCCAGUUCUUCUCCAUGGGGUUGCCCAGCCUUGUUCGUGAAAAAGAAAGAUCACACGUUAAGGCUGUGUGUCGAUUAUCGUCCCCUAAAUGAGGUGACGAUUAAGAACAAGUACCCAUUGCCCCGCAUUGACUUACUGUUUGAUCAGUUAGCUGGGGCCAAAGUGUUCUCAAAAAUUGAUUUGAGAUCAGGGUACCAUCAAAUUAAAAUUAGGCCGGAAGAUGUGCCCAAAACUGCUUUCACAACCCGUUACGGGUUGUAUGAAUACUUGGUAAUGUCUUUUGGGUUGACUAACGCACCGGCCCAUUUUAUGUACUUGAUGAACUCUGUCUUCAUGCCAGAACUAGACAAAUUUGUGGUCGUCUUUAUCGAUGACAUCUUGAUUUACUCCAAAACUAAGAAGGAACAUGCUGAACACUUGAGAAUCGUGCUGACCCGUCUCAGGGAGCACCAGCUAUAUGCCAAGUUCAGCAAAUGUGAGUUCUGGCUGGACAAGGUUCAUUUCCUGGGUCAUGUAUUAUCAGCGGAAGGAGUCGCUGUAGACCCAGGCAAGGUAGAAGAUGUGUUGAAGUGGAAACCCCCGACUACGGUACAUGAGGUCCGUAGUUUUCUGGGCAUGGCGGGAUAUUACCGUCGUUUUAUCCCAGACUUUUCCAGAGUCGCCAAACCAAUCACAACCUUGCUCAAAAGUCAAACAAAAUUUGUUUGGUCACCCCAAUGUGAGCAAGCUUUUCAGACUCUGAAAAGGUUGUUGACAACUGCACCUGUCUUAGCCCAGCCAGAUAUUGAAAAACCCUUUGAUGUAUAUUGUGACGCAUCAGGAAUCGGGUUAGGCUGUGUGCUGAUGCAGGAGGGUCGCGUAAUUGCAUAUGCUUCCAGGCAACUCAAACCUCAUGAAGAGAAUUACCCGACCCAUGAUCUCGAACUAGCCGCCGUGGUACAUGCAUUAAAAAUCUGGCGUCAUUAUUUGUUGGGAAACACAUGUCAUCUAUAUACCGAUCACAAAAGCUUGAAGUAUAUCUUUACUCAAGCUGAGCUUAAUAUGCGCCAGCGAAGGUGGCUAGAACUAAUUAAAGAUUACGACCUUGAGGUGCAUUAUCACCCUGGCAAGGCAAAUGUAGUAGCGGAUGCCCUCAGUCGUAAGGCUCACUGUAAUUGCUUAACAGUGAAGCCUAGGGAUAUAACUUUGUGCCAAGAGCUAGAGAACUUGGGAAUAGAAAUGAUUUCCCAAGGAAGCCUUUUCAAUUUAAGGAUUGAUUUCAAUCUCGAGGCUCAAAUCAUAAAGGCACAAAAAGAAAACAAAGGCAUGAGACAUCUUAAAGAGAAGAUUUCUAAUAGAGCACUCACAGACUUUAAGGUGGAUGAGGCGGGAGUAAUCUGGUUCAAGAACCGGUUAGUGGUUCCAAAGGUACCUGAGCUACGUCAGCAAAUCCUAGAUGAAGCUCAUACCACGAGGUAUUCUAUUCAUCCGGGAAGCAAUAAGAUGUAUCAGGACCUGAAGCAAAGAUUUUGGUGGACAAAAAUGAAGAUAGAAAUAGCUCGCUAUGUGGCCCAAUGUGACACCUGUCGAAAGGUCAAAGCCAUUCAUCUCAAAUCCGCUGGGGAGUUGCAACCUUUGCCUAUCCCCGCAUGGAAAUGGGAUGACAUAAGUAUGGAUUUCAUAGUAGGAUUGCCCAAAACGGCCAAGGGCUUUGAUUCCAUUUGGGUCAUAGUAGAUCGUCUCACCAAAACAGCACAUUUUCUGCCAGUAAAGCUAUUGUAUCCUACCUCCACCUAUGCUAAGAUUUAUUUCGACCGUAUCCUAAGUCUGCAUGGAGUGCCAAAGACAAUAGUGUCAGAUAGAGGCACACAAUUUGUCUCCCAAUUCUGGAAAUGUUUACAUGAGUCCUUGGGCACUAAGCUUUUAUACAGCACAGCCUACCACCCUCAAACUGGUGGGCAAACGGAAAGGGUAAAUCAAACCCUAGAAGAUCUAUUAAGAUCUUGUGCCCUGAAUUUUCCAGAUAAGUGGGAUGACUGCUUGCCUCUAGCAGAAUUUUCCUACAAUAAUAGCUAUCAAGAGAGUAUCAAAAUGGCUCCCUUUGAGGCACUGUAUGGUCGCCGAUGUCGAACUCCGUUACACUGGUCAGAACCUGGAGAAAGAUGGUUCUUCGGAGUUGACUUAGUAAAAGAGACUGAGAAUAAAGUGAAACAAAUCCAAAAUAAUUUGAAAGUUGCUCAGUCCCGACAGAAAAGUUACGCUGAUAAAAGACGUCGACCAUUAAAGUUCGCCAAAGGUGAUCAUGUGUAUUUGAAAGUAUCCCCAAUGAAAGGAGUAAAUCGUUUUGGUGUUAAAGGCAAGUUAGCGCCUCGUUACAUUGGUCCAUUUCCAAUUAUUGACCGAUGUGGGCAAGUCGCUUACCGCCUUAAACUGCCCGAACGAUUAUCCGGGGUACAUAAUGUGUUCCAUGUGUCUCAACUGAAAAAGUGUCUUCGGGUACCAGAUCGGGUUCAAGAUAUUGAAGAUGUAACGCUUGAACCAGAUCUGACCUAUUCGGAAUAUCCUAUCCGAGUACUGGAUCAAAAAGCUAGAGUUACUCGAAGGACAACCACCAAGUGGUAUAAAGUACAAUGGAGCCAGCACUCUGAAGAAGAAGCCACAUGGGAAUCUGAAGAUUACUUGUUAGAAAAUUUUCCUGAAUUCUAUGCUUCUCUUCAAGACAAUGUAUGAUAACCAGAGAAUAUACUCCAGUGAAGAAACAGAGUCGCCAAAGCCAUGUACUUAAUGUACAUAUAUGCAUAUAGUGAAGUAUUUUUUUCCCCAAUUCCUUGCCUUAUGGAAAAAUUGAAGAUGAAAGAGUUUUGACAAAUUUCCUUUUCCAUUACUUACCCUAAGGUUUUAAAUCUCGGGGACGAGAUUUCUUUAAGGGGGAAGGGCUGUAACAUCCCUGAUGUUACGGUUACUAAAAACGGAUCAUGUCAUCAUAAGCAUGGUAAAGCAUAAAUGUUAAAGCACAUUAGUAUGCAUCAACUUAAAAAUAAGUUUACUUUGAUUACUUGAGCUUAGGGAAGUAGAGUGUGUUUUUGUGGUGUGUUGUUGCUUGUGUGGUUGCUAAAACCCUAGGGUGGAAGUUUUCCGAAGAGCUAAGGGGGGGGAAAACCCUGAUUUUUGAACCCUAGAACUGCCCCCUUUUGUGCAAUUCAAAAACUAAGCAAAAUUUGAGGUUGAGUUCAAAAGCAAAGUUGUAGAUCCUGGAAAGAUGUACAACUUUGGUGUUUUGAGUUUUUGAAGUUUCAAUACAAAAUUCAAAGUAAUUUUGAAAAUACAGAUUUCCAGAAAGUGUCCCCUUUUCCAACUUAAACCCCCAAUUCAAAAUCCAUUUGGAAUUUUGAAAAGUGGUCAACAUGAAAGUUGUAGAGCACAAAAAGUUGAGCAACUUUCAUGUUGGGAGUUUUUCAAGUUGUUAUACAAAAUCAAAAGUAAUUUUGGAAAUUCUGUUUUGCCCCAAUUCAAAAAUUUGGAAUUUCUUUGAUUUGAGUUUGAUUUUCAAACUGUUUGGCCAAAUUCACCCUGUUACACUCAAAAUCAGCUCUGGUCACCAAAACAUGUUUUGUAGCUUAUAAAAUUUGGCACAAUUUUUGUUUUGGUGGAAUUUGGAGUUUAGUUCAAAUUUUGGCUGAUUUUCGCAAGGGGACAAAAGAGAGGAGAUAAGGGGGAGCUACAGUGAUCGGCAGGGGGGGGUGUUCUGCCGCCGGGGCAGAGCCGCCUCCGCGCGCGCCGCCACGCAGCUGGCCACGCAGCUGCCUGCUGCCGUGCUUCGCGUGGACGUCCUCAUCCGCAAACCGCCGUUCGUUGUGGGGAUAAAGCCCCGAGUGGCCAGAGUCCCCUCUUCCUUUUCUUGAACCCCGACGCCGACGAGCUCCCUGCGCCCCUCCAAUUCGCCUUACUCGCUGCCGUUUCAAGCCACCUGAGCACCCCAGCAGCUCCGCCGUGAGCCCAGCCACCAAUUGCGCCCCCAAGCGCAAGCACUAACCCACCAGAGCCCUUUCCCGAGCUGUUUCUCCCCCAACUCCGGCCGAGCACCACCGCAAGAGCGUCACCGUGGCCGGCUUCACCCUGCGCCUCCCCGCUGCUGUUUCUUGCUUCGUUGAAGUCGCGGUGAGCUACGGAUGCUCUUGCGCUGCUCAAUUAGCGUUUUACUCCGGUGUAGUGAUCGGUGUUCAUCUAACCGAGGCGGCCGUCCGCCGCGUCCGUGGCCGGGGUAGCUAGAGUAGGAGAGAGCAGGGGUAAAGGAGCUCUACGGGUGCGCAAGGGUCGGGAGAAGCUAACGCACCUCACCGCGAGUGCCGGGGUCUCACCGGUGUUGCGGUGAAGUUCGCCGGAGCGGUGGCGCGGGGUUGAAGGCGAAGCUGACGGGCGGGACCCGCCCGUCAGUCGCUGCGGGUGGAGAGGGGGCAGCGCGCGCCGUCCGCGCGGGAGCGCCCCUGGGCCGAUUUGGCCGUAUCCAAGCGGGCCGUCUGCGCGGCGCGUGAGCGGGCCGAGCGCGCGUGGGCUGGCCUGCGGGCUAAGUUCCAGGCCGCCCGCCUCAGGGAAAAACCUUUCUCUUUUUCCUUUUAUACAAAUUUUGCUGAAUGUUUGAAUUUGUGUAAUAAUUCGUGUGCUAAUCCAAAAAUCGUGGAAAUUUUUGUGUAGGCUCUCUGAAGUAAGUAGAACCCAAGAAAAAUAUUAAGUUCUGUUUUCUGGUAGUUUACAUGUCUGUAAAAAUUUGCCCUUUUAAUUAGCAAAUAAAACUUGUAUGAAUUCUAAUAAUUUAAUUGUAUGUCCAAAAAUCACCAAAAAUUGUGGGGAGCCUCUGAAUAUUAUUCCCUGGCUCCACCUAAAAUUUGGUGGCAUUUGGAUAAGGUUUGGUUAAAAUGUUAAUAAACCCUUAUUUAGUAUUUAAUUAAUCAUUCUAAAAUAAGUAAAUAGUGAUUAACUAAAUCUUCAUAAUUAGGGUUGAGUGAUUUUGGAUUAUGUGAUGACCUGAGGUCAUUAACCCUAAUGACCUUUGACAUGUAAAUAUUGUUUAGCCUUAAUGCUUAAUUAUUGUCAUUAGUAAUUAAUUAAGAAUUAAUUAAGGUAAAUAGGUUUAAUAAUUACCUAAUGUAAGAUAAUUAUGAAUUAAAUAAAGUCUUAGUUUACAGAUGCAACCUCUUGGGUAAAAAUAUUAAGUUAUUAAGCAACUUUAUUUGGUGAUAAUUCUAUACUGCAUUAAAAAGGCAAAUUGUACUUAAUUCGGUCCAUCUUGCAUAAUUGCCAUACGCAUAUCAUAAGCAUUCAUCAUUUUGCGUAUAGUGCACGUGACCGAAGGAGCGCCCGUUGAACCGAACCCCGAGGUCGGUGCUCCGUUCGAGGAAGUAGGAUCCGAGACUUGGGAAGUCUCCGAGGGUCCCUCUCUGCCCUGCAACCAAGGCAAGCCCCGGAUGCAUUAACCCCUCCUUGGUGUUUUAAAUCUUUUAUCACUUAUGAAUUGAAAAUGCUGCAUUAAGUAGUUGAGAAUUGGGUUAACCUACUUGCUGCAUUUACUACCUUGAUAUCUAUAUCCUGUCCUUGACACAUGUUUUAUUUUAAAACUGCGUAGCAAUGCUUAGCCCUGCUACUAGAUAAGUUUUCAAACAAGAAAGUUUGAAGGGUUGUUGUGGGAUACACUUAUGGACAAUGAUAUUUCAACUUGAGACCGGUCGGUGGACUUGCUUUAAGAAUGGAGUCUUAAAGUAGUGUCUCCAACUGUGUCGGUUAAGGACCGGUCCGUUGAUGGCCUGCUGGGUUGAGAAUUUAUAGUACUAGCCACUUGCCUACGGUAAGCCCAGUCUUGUGAUCCCUCGACGCGAACAGCUACUCGCGCACUGGGAGUGGAAAGAUGGCGAGAGUAGUGUGUACCCACCUUACGGAUCUGAGAUGACCGGAAAACAUCUAGAUCGGCUGUAGGAUGGUGGAGUACUGUGCUCUCGGGUGCCGCGAACCUGGUCAAAUUUGGGAAGAGCUUGUUUUGGGUUGAUAUAUGCAAGAUUUGGUUCUACAUAUGUCGGGUGGUUAGGAACUCCAGCUGGAUUGCUAAGCGAUUCGAAUCGUCGUUGCUCCCCGAUUGGGAGACUCAAUUCCUUCGACCCUCAUCGUAGUUAAAUAUGCAACUAAGUGAUAUAAUGAGAAAGGGGAAAAUGUCUCAUGAGGUUCGGAUCCCAAUUCCCGGACUCAUAGCGACAUGAAGCUAUGACCAUCGAUAAAUAAUACUUAAUGAUAGGGUUAGGAACUCACGGAUUCGUCUGUGGGGAACAACUAGUUAGACUAUCCUCGAAUUCUUCUGCCUCUGCGAGGGAGGAAUUCAGGGUAAAACUUGAAAAUAAGGAUGCACUACUAGUAAGCUUUUCCGCAAAACACUUUGGCUCCUUGCUCAGCCACCCCUUGUCUACCCUAAGCCUGCAUCCCUAAAUUCUCCUCUUUUCCCGUCGGAUAAGUCUUGUUGAGUACUCCCGUACUCAGGGUUUCAAUACCCCUGUUGCAGGUGAAGCUCAGGAGCCGGCUUGUUUCGGACCCUGUUGUGUGACCGUCGUCGAGGUUGACGACGAAGAAGAGUGAGCGUGACCCAUGGGCAGGGUCUGUAAAUUUGUUGUGUCUCUACUAAAGUUUAAGUUGCUCCGCUGGACCAGGCUUGUAAUAACACUCUACUAUUUGGAAGAACUCCUUUUGUAAAUUAAGUUAUGUAAUACUUCCGCUGUUUCACUCCGAAAUGCUAUUUUGGUCUUGUGUCGUUGAGUUACUGCUUUAUCUUCGCAACGAAUGAUCCUGGUGUUAAGGUGGCCACUUGCUACCCUGUAAGGGCGAGAAGAAACAGUUCUCGUUGUUUGACCAUUAUCAGUGGUCAGGACGAGCCAGCUUGGUACGCCACAGGUAGCAGUGGUAUGAGCGCCCAGCAAUGCUCAUCGGACUUCUAAAGUGGGAGGACUCCCGACAUCGCCGUCAGAGGUCCUUAGGACAAUGGCAGGUGUCGGUGGGCCCAAACACUUAGGAGGUUCUGCCACAGUCCGUCACAUAUCUCUUCUGACACACGGACCCCGUGUGCUAGGGCUUAUUGCGGUCAACCAUGGACCGUGCUGCCAUGGUGGUGGUUCAAGCUCCGGCUCACAUAUCGUGUGGCAUGACCGACUCUGCAUGUAAAAGUUUCAAGAUUGUCCAACCCAUUCCAUAAGGUUGUUGUAGCGCCGGAUCUGCACACAUGAAGUUGUGAAGAUACUGUCAUGCCUGGAUCACACCAUAGUAUGGAAAGAUAAAAACGCCGCACUCUGCAUGCAGUGAGCCUUAGGUUUCUGAUGAUCGGGUAAAGGACAUAGGUAUAAACGACGGGAUGAGAACUGUCGAAAGGUAGAUAGUGGAAUGAGAUGCCACAUGAAUUCAGGCCAUCUUUAUUCCCAUGCGUGGCGCUGGAGCAACUCUUUUUGGCAUGCAUUCCACCGAUUGAUCCAGAACCAAUAACAUUUUCUUUUUGUUCCUUUACUGACCAAGGGCCAUUAAUUCGUUUGUGGAUAAAGAAAGCGAAAAAUUCUUCUUCACCUCUAGCGUAUGAAUAACAGAUUUCUGUACAAAAUAUCCAAAAUUAAUCACUGCAGGCGCAGCAUCUUCGUUGUGACAUGAUGGCAUGAUUUGGGGCACGAUUAGGCAGCCAUUGACCACCAGAACUGUUAGGUAUAAGCAAUAAUAAGCAUCAUAUUCCAGUGUGGCAAGCUCGCUUUAUUCCAUUUGAGGCCCACAAUGACAAGGCAUGGUUCAGCGAUGGCCGGCCCCCAUCACAGCUUUCUUGGGCCCCUUGCACAGCCGUUCGUCUUGACAAGGCAAGCCAUGCCAUUUUCUUCUACAGGACGAGCUGGGAUGUGCCUAGCUGCAAGGGAUAAGCAUUGGGCGCAUUAUUCUGCCUCCCACUAGUGGCCCCAAAUCUAAGCCACUUUAGAUAACCACACCAAAAUGUGUCGUUGUCACCCUGGUCCUCAUCCUUGCCGUUGUGCGUGUCUCAUCACAAUCUCAUCAGUCCCUCUCCAUGCAAUGCAAUUCCAGCAGCGAAAAGCACCACCCGCUCCUUUUCGUAUCUACUGUCUCCUUGUGUUGACAUGGGCUGUGGUAACAGCCGUUCCUGGUGCUGGUGUGAUAUGUUGGGGGCUUAGAGAAAAGUGUUGCAGACUUGCUGAAGCACUGGUGCUUUCGACAGGAAACAUUCCUUGAGACGAGCAGCAGCAGCAGCUUGACUAGUUGCAGUGACUGGGCUGCCAUUAGCUUGUUGCAUUACUGCUACUGAACACUUCAAUUGCUCUUGAUCUGGAAGAACCAAGAUACAGCUGCUGCUGCUGCUGCUGCUGCUGGUGGUCAGCAUGACAAUUGUGUGGCCUUCCCCUGCUCUGAUCGCGGAUGCUGUGUGUGUGUAUGGCUUGCUUGGGACUGGGCGACUUGCAUUGGGAGGCAGACACCCAGGAGGCCAGGAGCAACACCAACACGUGAAGUGGCUAGGCUCCCCAGGCCAGGCGCAAUGCCACCCACCUCGGUCGGUGUCGUCUCCCGGGGAGAAAACGCCGCGGUCCCCGUGACCGCACCAGACGCCCCUCGAUUUUUUGAAUGCGUUGGUUGCUGCACCUGGGUUGGGAGUUGGGACGUUUGAUGAAUAGUAUACAUUGGUCCACGUCCACCUCCCGCGAUCGGCACCUGGGCAGCUGGGCCUGGGCUGGACGGUGUUUGUCACAGCUUCUUUCAAUUAUUACUACUACGACUACCAGGAAGAUGUCGCCACCCACUGCUGGGUUGAGAGAUACUCCCUCCGUCGAAACAAAUGAAAUUCUAAGGGCUUUAGAUCAAAAAGUUUUUUUAUUUUGAUAUUGUAGCAUUUUCAUUUUUACUAGUAUAAUGCCCGUGCUAACACCACGGUUUUUUCUAGAGAAUGCUAUAGUAAUUUUUUUAGAGUUUUAAUUUUAGGUAAUUGUUUUUAAGUCUAUAUACAUUUUAUGAAUCAUCAGUACAUAAAGACAUCUUUACAUUUUCUCUAACUUUUUAAUCAAAUAUUGGAUAUCUUCAGGGAUGUUGUCGUAGCACUCGUUUGCACGACUCGCCAAAAUUUCAGCCAAAAACUCCGUCCUUAGUGAUAUAUAUAGAUGGGAAGUAAUUACGAAUCCUUUUGCAUUCUUCUCGGGCAAUCAUAUGGUUAGUUUCCCAGGACGACAUUUCAAUACCAUGCUCCCAUUUGCUUGUGUCGAGUUUUUUGUUCUCUACUACAUGUUUAAUUAUUCUUUCCAUUCCUAUUAACUGUUAAAACCGAGAUACCAGGUUAAUUUUGAAUUGUUUAGUUCAAUAAGUUAAAAAAGUAUGUGUACAUCAUAUAGAUAUUAUGUUGUACCGUGUUUCGAAGAUCUACACAUUCUAUCAUUUGCAUUCCAAUAGAGUCCAUCAUCUGCAUUCCAAAAGAGUCCAAUACUUGUAUCUCUCGCUUUAAAGCAUUCACGACUGCGAGGUACCAGUGACAGAGUGGAAUAUUGAUCGGUAGAAACACUUGCAGACAUAGAAAUUUAUGCUCAUUAUAUACUCUUAUUUGGACGGUAUAAAAUUUAUCAUAUGGCAAAUGUUAUGUUUAAGCUUACCAUAUCAGCUUUUAAAUAAUCCUUUACCCUUGAUUCAGCCGCGCCUUGUCUUUGAAUCCCUAAAUCUUUAGGAUCUUGCUCUACAUGAGUUUUUAGGAUCUUGCGCCGGCGUCACAGGCAAAUUUUUUUCGCGCUUGAGGAAGGGAUAUGUAGAUCAACUGGAAUUCGCUGAUCACCGUCUCCCUGCUGUCGAGGCAAAAAAAUUUCGCGCUUAAGGGAUACGUAGAUCGACUGGAAUUCGCUCAUCACCGUCUCCCUGGUGUCCGCUGAUCAGACCGUCCGUCCGUCGACGGCACCGGCGUCACAGGCAAAAAAAAAUUUCGCGCUUGAAGAACACGCACCUGAGGGCGCUCCCCAAUGCGGCGGAGAGGCUGGCGCUGUGCAACGCCGACCUGCUCGACUACGACGUUCUGCGGGCCGGCUGCCACGGCGUCUUCCACACCGCGUCGUCCGUCACCGACGAUCCGGUACAUAUACGUGUAACCUAUAAUACUUAAAUACGGAUAUACUAAGAUCGAUCUAUGAUCACGGUACAUGUCACGUACCGUAACCAGGCUAGCCUUUGGAGGAAAAACGUUUUCUCAUGUAUGUACUCCAGUAGGGACCAUAUACAGCACCUACUGGCUACUGCAGAUAUUUAUUAUUUAUUAUUAAAAAAAGAUCAACUAAAAUCACAACAAAAAGAUUUAUUACUCCAGUAGUAGAAUAUUUUUACGACAGAAACUGUGUCUUGCAUGCAUGCAUGCAUGCGUGCAAAAUUCACUUCCUGGAGCCAGAUGCGUGUUUUGACCUGGUUAUGGUGGAGAUUAGUGGGCCGAAUUAGUGGGCUGCGGUGGAGAUGAGUUUGUUGGGGCGUGAGUUUGUCUGGUCUAACGGCCCAAGAAGUUUCCAAUUAUAGAGGAGAUUAUUUGGCAAACAUUGUCUAAUUAUGGAGUAAUUAGGCUAAUCUCAAUGAAAGGUUUCAUUUCACUGUUUCUAAGACAUGAAAUUAUAGGUAUCUGUGAAUUAAAUAGACUCUCUCAAUGCACAUUUUCAUUUUAUUGUUUCAUAGACUAUUUGUAACAUUUAAUUCUUCUAAAGUGUUGUGAUCGUUUGUGUCAUAUGAACUGUGUAGCCAUUUUAUAUUUUUCUAAGAAUUAGCACGUUAGAAUAUCACAGUAUGUAAAGAACGAUUAUUUUUCUUCAAAAGAAUAUUAGUAUUUUUCUCUUUUUAAAAUAGUAUAUAUGUUGGCUUCCGUCCAUAUCCAUGGAUCUGCUCCCCUGCUAAUCCAUCCAUUCAAAGCUUGAAGGGCGGCCAGGUCGAACGACCUUGGUGUGGCCUAGCGUGGAGCAAAGCCCAGAAGGACGCCCGGAAGCUCCCUGCAGGAUGCGCCGCUGAUGUAGGAGGGGGUGCAGGGAGGAAGCGGAGGUGUGCGUCUCAAGCAGGGGAUCGAUGCAGAUGAAACUUUUUCCCUCAACGCAAGUGUCGUACGGUUUCCAAACGGCGCCCAAACGUUUCAUGCCCAUAAAACCUAUCCCUUCUCUCUCCUUCUCAAAUCAUGCAAAGAUUCCAUUUUUGCUGAUGUGUCACUGUAUUUAAUGUGCAUGAAACACCCAUGAAAUGCCCAUUGAGACUGGCCUUAGGGUUAAAAGAUUCGUCUCGUGAUUUACAGGUAAACUGUGCAAUUAAUUAUCUUUUUUAUCUAUAUUUAAUGCUCCAUGCAUGUGACACAAGAUUCGAUGUGAUGGAGAAUCUUAUAAAGUUUUGGAUUUUUUGGUGCAUCUAAACAAGGCCUAAGUUUGUUUGUUUGUUUGUUUAUAAGCCAAAACAAUCUUAAGUUUAGUUAACAUUAUCAAAAAUCUAUUAAUAUUUAUAACUCAAGAAUUUAUUUAUAUAUCAUUUUCUAAGAGAUUGGGCAAUCCACCAACUCAUUUAUUUUUUGUUAAAGUAAGGAGCAUGUUCGCUUGAACGUAUGUGUCGAAUCUGUUAGCCAUUUAAUAGUGUUGACCUUGUGUAUUUGGAUGUGUGUAGGAGCAACUCUAACAAUUUAGCAAAUGACUUCUUAUGCAUAAUUUUUUAGGAAAAAAAACCUCUCCAACAGUUUGAUAUCCCAAGUCUAUAUUUUUUUCAACUUAACAUAUCUUCCUGUUUAGCGUACAAAUAUACGCGCGGGUUUUGUGCUUGGUCUCAGUCUUUCUCCUCAUGUUUAGCUGAGCUCUUUGUUUUGUUAGCGGUUUUUUAGUUUUUUGAAAUAAAAUUUGCCAAAUUAUUAGAGCUGAGAUCUUUUUUUUUCUUCCUCCUAUUAUUUUAAGACUUAACAAACAACAAGAUUUGAAAAAAUGAAUUUUUACCGUUGGACAAGCUCCAAAUAUUCAUUUAGGGCUUGUUUACUUCCCAGAAAAUUUUGCAAAAUUUUUCACAUUCACCGUCACAUCGAAUCUUUAGACGCAUGCAUGGAGUAUUAAAUAUAGACGAAAAUAAAAACUAAUUGCACAGUUUGGUCGAAAUUGACGAGACGAAUCUUUUGAGUCUAGUUAGUCCAUGAUUGGACAAUAUUUAUCAAAUACAAACGAAAGUGCUACAGUGUCCAUUUCCCAAAAUUUUUCGCAACUAAACAAGGCCUUACACGGAACCCAAAUAACAACGCCAGCCGUACAACUCGGAAGAACAAAUUAGCCCUGCCCAUUGUAGCUUUUACUGUACCGUUUUACGGUGGUGGAUUAGGCAGUGGGCACCCACCGCACCAAAUGCAAGACGCCGUGGGAACGAACAUGGUGGGUAACACUGCCUAGCUGGCUGCUGUACUCCGCCUGCUCUCCACUCGUUUUGUGUACGACUGAAACGGAAACAGCGAAGCACACGGUUGUCACUCGUCCGUACCCAGCUGCCACACACAACUCACGACAAAUUAUUACUGCUCCUGACUUGCAUCAUUAACACGCACCAUUCCCACCAAAGGAAUCCAACGAAACCGCGUAUCCAGGCAAAACAAACAAUGAACGAAGCCAUUCAAAUCGGGGUCAAUCGACGGGGUACUAAUACUUGUUUACUGUAUGAUUCGUUUCUAGUACGUGGUCGAGACUGACGACACCAUGUGCAGGUGCCGGAGCCGUAAAUUCACAACCUUUCCUUUUUAUAACGGCUACAAGGUUUGCCUUCACUUUUAUUUUCAUCACUGUCUUUGUUAACUCCCUUUCAGUAACAAUCACUGACUGUCAAGAAAAAAAAAAGAAAACCAGAGAAAGAACGAAAGAUUCAAGAACACUAGUAGUAUGGGGUGCCAAAAUGUACAUGGGAAGGCAACAUGUGAGCUAUCCUGUUCAUCAAUCAAGAACAGAGGUGACCAAGAACAAACACGAAUCAAGGAGGAGAACAGGAAGCAAGAACAAUAAUAGCAGCAGAUCAGUUUCGGGAGCACUCGGCGGGGAAUCCCUGCGGGAACCUCCACCCAUCGUCGCAGUAGUUGUAGUGCAUGUAGUUCUUCUUUGCCCACGCGACGGUGCCCCACUCGGCGGCGUCGAGCUGGCGGUUCAUCCACCGGUCCGUCCCGGCGGGGCACGACAGCGGCGCGCCGACGUCGCCGCCGCCGGUGGGGACACAGGCGUCGGCGGUGUAGCCUCGGUACGAGACGACGAACGGCGAAUUGGACCAGUCCACCUUCACCUUCCCCUGCUGCG
This 48771-nucleotide long non-coding RNA is filed under the name Sorghum bicolor (sorghum). Its description in RNAcentral is "long non-coding RNA (SBIC_LNC011919)". The record is from RNAcentral. Lineage: Eukaryota; Viridiplantae; Streptophyta; Magnoliopsida; Poales; Poaceae.